GCAAACCAACAAACAGCUUUAUGUUAACUUUUACAAACUGCCACAUUUUCAGGUUGAACGAUCAGACAUAAAUCUUGGUGAAACUAGAAGUAAUACAACCUGUGCUGUGGAGAUAAAAGAAAGGGCAGCAGCACUGGUGGCUGCAGAAAUUGAGGCAUGUAGAGACAAUAGAACCCCCGAGAUACCUCUGCAUAAGAAAGUCCAGAAAGAGUGGGCUUGUGCUGUAUGCCAGUUCACAACCCAAAGUGAAGUGACCUUCAAUUCCCACCUUCAAGGGAAGAGACAUCAGGCCACUUCUGAGCAGUUGAGAGCCAAAAACCAGGCAACCAAAACCAAUUGUUCCCCAUCUGCUUCAAAGGCCAAGAAAUCUGAUCAGUCCACCAAAGAGGAGCAACCAAAGUGUCCUUCCAACAAUCUGAAUUCCAAAAACAAUGGAAUCUCAGCUGCUUCAACAGUGAAGAAACCUGACGAGACCAAAGAUGAUGAGCAACAAAAGUGUGCAUCCAGCAAUGGACCAAACCAGAAGAAUAACAAAAAGCAAGAGGAGAAGGUGCUAGUUCUUGAGACCAAUGAGCAAGGCCAUCAGAAUAAUUUUGAUCCACGAUCCCACAUUUAUUUUGGGUCUCACAAGUUUCAAAUUUGCAGAAAAAUGAAAGAUGUUUGAGAGAAAAUUAAAUCAUAUUGCACUACUGUUAGGAAAAAUAUGGCUGAAUCCAAUUGCUUUUCUUCUCCAAGUCUAUUAAAAAUAUAAUUUUUUCUCCAUUCCUGACAAAAUUUAAAUUUUUUCCUUAAAAAAAAAAAAAUUAAGUUUGAUCACCUAACACAUCUUUCUAAACUCAAUCUCAACUUGAAAAAUCAAACCUUAAUGGAUGGACUAUAGAAAUAGUGAGAAAACACUUCUGGGGUUUUUUUUUUCUUCCAACAUCAAAUUUUUCUAUAUAUGGGAUUUCACAUGCAAAAGCAGGAGUAGAUUUGCUUGUGUUUGAUGUAUGUAUUAGAAAAAUUUGUCCCUUCUGGGAUGUUUAAUACUUUUCUAUUCUUUUAUAUGCAUGUUUAGCUAGAAGAUAUAGAAUCGAUACCAUUCCUUAAAAGUGAUAGCCACAACUGUGAUAAUUAAACACCAAAGAAUGUGAAGAUCUAUAUAUUCUUUUUUUUUUCCUCUCUCUUUCAAUAAUGAAGCUAAGAUGUGUUGUAAGCAUCAAAUGCAUUGUCUCUGCUUGAAUAUAUACAAAGCCAAGGACCACAAGAUGGAUAGAUAUGGGGACGCACAAAACUUCUCAAACAUGAUUAUAUUAAUCAAGAAUUCAACUAAGCUUAAAUUCAAGAUGUUGAUUUCUAGCAUCUCUGGUGCUAUAGGAUGACUAUUGAUCCUGUACUGUUAUGUGCCCUACUGAUAUAUUCUUCGGGUUGUUAUGUAUAAAUAAAAUUUUUGGGAAAGUUUGCUUGGUGGUUACACUAUCACUAUUUAGGCCAGUAAAAAUUGGAAGCCUUUGUAAAAAACUGAUGGUCCAAGAGCUAUUCUACUUCAUCAUCCAUGUAAUAUGACGAUACAAAUUUGACUAAAUGCAGCUAUAGAAGGCUUAGGACCAUAAACCAAGCCUAGUCGAUGUCACUCACCUAAAUUUAUGCAUAAAGCUUUUGGAUGGCUCAGAGUUAUAUUUAAUUACUGUUAUGUUCGCAACUAUAUUUUCAUUGGAUUUAUAGUCCAGCUUGAGAACUAGUCCUCCAUUGCACAUAAUGUCCACACAAGGCCACAGUGCCCGCUCAAAGGCCAUAGCGCUACUCAAGGAUAUAGUGCUUACUCAAGGCCAUAGAGCCCACCUAAGGCUAACGACCCAAAAGGAGAAAAAGGUUGGUUCCACGUACUCUAAUAUUUACUAGAAAAGGUUCUUCCUAUUAAAGAACAAAAAAUUGCAUUCCCUUGUGACCAAUCCAAACAGUAGACCACUGACUUGUAUAAGGCAUUAUUCACCAUGCAAGCACUUUUUCAGCAACCUACCAUCUGGCAUGAACCAUUUUGGAUUGAUUCACAAAGCAAUGGUGUUAUAUUAAGCAUAUUCAAUAUAGAACCAAAUUGUGCCUCCUUAGAUUAACUAAAAUAUUUCCAUUGCAAGAUGUGCAGAUAGGCAUAUGAUCAUGAAGUAAUUUCCUGAUGAUAAUACCCCACAAAAUAUUUCUUUUUCUCACUGAUCUCUCCUAGAUUUUCAGUUCACCCAUCCAUGGCGCCUGACUAAAAAUGGGGGCAUUUUGGAUACCCCGAGCAGUAAGUUAGCCUGGUAGGCAUCCCGUUGCAAGCAAAGUCAACCCGAGCGGUCCAUUUGACCAAAGCUUAUCCAGGCAGUAAGCGUCCAUAUACAGCUAACUGUUAUGCACCAUCAACAGGUUGAGGUUACAAGAUUAAAGAGUCAUAAUGGCCAAAUGGAAGUUACACGACUCGGCCUAUAUAAUAACAGUAUGACAAAAAAUGCAGGUAUGAAGAACUAUCACUGAAAAAAUUUAUUCCUAAAAAUCCUUUAAGCUCCUUUAAGCUAACUUGGGCAUUGGAGAGGUCUCUCCGAAGCACACUCGAGCUUACCUUUUUGUAAGACAUCGAGAACAAGAGGCAUUGAAGUGAUUGUCCGGAGGGUUGAACUUGGUCGGGAACCAACAAUACACACUAUUCAAAAAUAGGGAUCAUAUUAAAUUAUUAAUGCAACCAUAGGAAGCAAUUGAGGACAAGGGUGUUAUUUGAUUAAAAGGGUAAUUGAAAACCUAAAUUUUGAAAUUUAACCCUCCAUUCUAUUUGGCCUUAUGUGAACAAAAAUGCCUUCAUUAUUUUCUUGUAAAAAUAACUCACCCAUUUAAACCUUACAUGAAAAUACUUAAAAUGGUAAAUGAUAUGUUAAAAAUUGAUUAUUUUUCAAAUAAAACAUAAGAAGGGUCAAAUUCAUGAAAGGAUUAUUUCAUCCCUUUUAAUCAAUUAAUUCGAUUUAUUUCUUUUUAUUUUUUUUCUCUCCAUGUUAAUUUUCACAUCACCCAACAACACCACUCUUAAUUCACACAAGUUUGAAGUUUUUGAAUGAGAUAUAUUCGUAAUUAUAUUGUAAUUGUGUUAUAAUAACCAUUUCGUACUUGGAUUUGUUCUUUCAGUCCAUUUAACCUUUUUGUUUAUUCAUGUCAAAACAAUGUACUUAUAAUCGAAUCCAUUUAUGACAUGUUGAUCUUAUAUAAAUUUAUUAAUUUUAUAUAUUUAAAAAUUAUAAAAAUUAAAUAUACUUUUUCAAUUAUGAAUAUCAUAUUACUAAAAUAUUAAAUAACAAAUUAACUUGAAAUGCUAUAUAUUUCAUUAAUUAUUUUAUAAUUAAAACAUUAAAUGAAAUAAUAAACAAGUAUAAAAUAGAAAAUUCUAUCUUAGUUAGAAAUUAUAAACUGUUAUUGAGACAUAUAAGUAUUAAAAUUCUACCCAUUUCACUACCAAACAACUUAUGUUUUUAGUCAUAAUUUAACCUUAUGAUGAACACUUAAAUAAAAUUUGUCAUCUUUUUCUAUUGAUUUAUAUUUAUUUAUUUAAAAAUUUUGUCUGGCAUAAACUAUCAUCUCACAAAAUCAUCAUUGAUGAGUAGGCUAUGCCCCAGUGUAAGCAUCUCCAAAUCAAACAUCAAUGAGAGGAGUACAACCAAUCAUACAUCAUCUUAUCAAAAUGAAUCUCCGCUUUUCAAAGUCAUCGUGGUAACGUGAAGAGAGUAUUUGACCUCCUCUAAAGAAAAAACAUGUCUUGAUGUGAAAAAGAUCAAGCAAAGUGGUAUGCCUCAACAAAAAUGUGCUCAAACAUGAUCAUGCCCCGAUGUAAGUUAGUAUCUCUAAGAUCAAUCGCCAAUGAAAAGGUUAUUCCCCAGUAUAGGGCAAACUCUGAAAUGACUAAACUCCGUUGCAAGCUCUCAUAAGUGUCUGUGUCAUGAUCCAAUCAUCGCAAAAAUUUGUCAACAAUGAUGAGAAGGCUAUGCUCCUAUAAUCACAUCAAAGAAAUCACUCGGUCAUAUUACUCCAAUGUGAAAGAAAUCUAAUCACCUCCAAGGAACAGCUAUGCCUCAAAACCAUCAUCGACUGAGAGGGGGAUGCCCCUGAUCCAAUCACCACCCUAACUAACGUACCCAUCAUGAGGAACACUUGUUUGAGCUCCAUAAUGGGGAUCAACCAUUAGAUGAACAAGAUUCGAAUAUUACUUGCUCCCCAUUUCAACCAAUGAAUGAUGUACCUGGAAACCUUGUAGACAACCAUAGUUUUCAGCCUUCUUCCUCGCGAUCAUCUAGAACAGAGUCGGUAAGCUUCACUCAUUUCUUAUAAUGGACCUUGACCCACAACGUCGAACUACCUGUAUGCAAAAUUAUCCGUCCAGAAAACCCAUCCAUACAAUUCAGGUUCAAAACCCACAAGAACCACCCUAUGAAUAAACUAAUUAUAGCUGGCUUCGUUGCAAUAGGCAUUAACUUUCUUAUGCUGACAGUCCUAGCAUCAUUUACCAAAGGAUCAACAACUUUUCCAUGUCAGAGAACAUUAUCAAUCACAAUGACACCCCUGGUCCUCACUAGUUGCGAUAGCAAUUUAAAGUAUUCUUGAUUCAAAGGGUAAACAAAACAAAAAAGAAAACCCUAAGUGUGACUCCUUAUUUGAAAAAUGUGGUUUAUGAAAAACCGGAUCGAGCUUAGGGGUCAGGUUACUUAUCGGGAAGGUACAAAAAAAACCGUAGCACCCCUCUAAGUCCCUAAAAUGGGUCUCUAUUGAUAAAAUGAAGCAAUCAUGGCAAUUGGUAAGGAAAUCAUUGAGUAUCAACAUGAUCACACAUUGAGAGUUAAAGCAUGCAUGAGGAAUGGUCAAAGUGAGAAAGGAUGCGUACCUUAGCAACGAGUCCCAAUGCGCUAUCAAGAAAUUGGGUUAGUGCACAAUCAAUAAAUAUAAAAUAUAACACACAUGCAUCACUAAAUAGGGUAAUAAAUCCCCGAUGACAAACCUUGCACUUCACUCAGGUUUAUUUCUACUUCUCUGAUGUUGGGCCCCACCAAAGCUCAUUUUAUUUUGCAUGAAUCAACUCCAAUAACUCCAUUAUUCGGAAUUACGAAAUUUAAUUCUUGCUUAUUUUAAAGCAUUUUAAAAAUAGAGGAGAUAUGAGAAUUGCUCGCCAGAAAAGAAGAUGGCGGCAAAAUUUUAAUGAAAAACGAGUUUUUGGAACCUAAGAAAAAUGUUAAGGAUGGAAAAUUUUGGAGGUUUGAAAUUAAUUAAAAAUUAGAAUUGAGGAAUUUAUUUACAAAAUGGGGUUUAGGAAAAUUAUUUUCAAAAAAAAAAAAUGAUGAAAUGAGAGAUGGCACGUGACACAAGGGUGGCCAUGCUGAAGGCGUUCUCUUCUGGCCCAAGCUGGAAAUGCACUCCAAUUAUCCUUCUUUUCUGGUAUAACACCUUCAUCAAAAUAAAUAGCUUUUGCACCAUACUCUGAUAGACAAGGACCAAUAACAAUGCCUAUAUUUGCCUUAAGUAGACAAAGUAAGUCACCCAUUGAACCUCCAAUAUAAAUUGUCAAGUGCUCUGUGUCAUUACUGCAUCCCUCCUUCAAGAUGUCCUUAGAAACCUAAAGCUUUUCCACGACAUACUCCAUCUUCUUAAUGAUUUCACCCGUGGAAAUGGAUUCUUCACAAGCCAACUCAUUUGAAUAUACUCUCAAAACACCCAUAUCACCUGAUGAAAAUGCUGAUCUAACGAAAUCGCCACACCAACAGUAUGAAAGUCCAUGAACAUCUGCUUUCAGAUUAUUAUUUUUAAGAAUCUUUUGGAAGAAACCUGUGCAACCAUCUUGAAGAAUUAGACCUUGACCAACCUGUUUUAUAUCAUCUGAAUUUAAACCCUUCAAUACUCCAGACUGAGUCACUCUUGAAUCUGCCUUUUCCUCAAAAUCAGAAAGUUGCUCAAGUGCUUUACAUAAGCCUUCAUAAUUGAAUUUUUCCACUGUUUCACUGGGGACGAUGCUUCCCAUGCAUUUUUCAAGCUCUUCAGUAUGCUGGGUAGAUAGAACACCCCAUGUGUGUGUCCAGAUCACCAUGAGUGACCAUUUGAACCUUGACGAAUGAGAGAGUACAUAACAUUUAAGCACACAGGACAUAUAUUAACAUUCUCCAUUAGCUUCUCUUUGCCUUUGUCCACCUCUUGACCUCCCAUGCAGCCAACUGUGAAGACCACGUCCAGGUGCAGUCACGUGGUGACACAUCUCAUGGUCUUCCUCAUCCAAUAAAUCACAUGCUCUGUUAAAUCUGCUACCCGAAUGGAUACCUCCUAUCCAUCAACCUGAAUAUACUCCGAGCUUUCUUCAUAAAACCCAAGAAACUCCAGAAGGCAUCAUGGUUCUCCUCCAUCAUUGAAAUGAUUAGGGAUAGUAAAUCACUCAUCCCUUAGCAAUAUCCCAUUUUUAAACCAUAGGGUGCGUAGGCUUCUAGAAUAGUAGCAAAGUGAGCAACACGGAAAAUCUUGCGUGGAUCCAAGUUCCAUGAUGGUGAUCGUAGCCUCACCUUUGAAAUCACAAGACCCAGAACCCAUUCGUUCUUCCUGGUAAUAACUAUCAGAUGCAUAGGAGGCAGGGUUCUUCAGAUUGUUGAUUUGGUAAAAGCCUCUUCUGGUUGAACCCCUGAAUGAUUCACUUUUCUCAGUCCGCAAACCUAGUUCAGAACAGCCCGCAAGAUCAGAACCUUAACCUAGGCGUGGAGAUCCAGUGUUGUAUAACGCCUCAAUUGUCGGAAGCAGCCAUGGCCCAAACAAUGAUAUAAUGGUCAGCAAGUUGUCCCCAAGGACCAUGACAGUGAUGAGCAUUUCCGGGCAGCGCGUCACCACGUUCCACGUCGCGACGGUAAUGGCUAUGGACUGAGUGUCAUGGUCAGGGAGCUUGAUGAAGCAGGUGAAAAUCUGGUGUUUUAGAUUCUGAGGCAAUGACUGCUUGAUCGGUCGGAUUCUAGUACCGGCGUUACAUUGGGGAGGCAAUCUUAAAGUUCCAACGGAGGUAGUAGUGGACUAAUAUUCCUCAAUAACCAAACUUGAGUUUCUCACUUUCCGCUUCUCAAGGCAUUCACCUGAAACGCUUCAGGCGCCCAAACCCUUUCUGCUCAUCAGUAUAAUCACGCGCAUGAAAGUCUUAACUGCCUUCUAAACUUCACAACUUCAUCUUGCAUCUGGGUCAUCGUCGGCACGAACUUAUCACCUGAUUCAGUUAAUAUCCCCAUAUAACAAGUUCCAAUGAAGUCGCAACUUUGCAUCUUCUUUUCUGCGAUUACUUUGAUUCUCAAAGCCGAUUACUUGUUGCAGUCCAUAGGAGAUUCAAUAAUCAAACAUCAUGCACAAGCAAAAAGGCAACAAAAUACAUCGGCAUGUGGCCCAUACACCCUCCAAAAUCUUCACUCAUUUAGUAAGUUUUAGAUUCAAAAGAGUUAGCCUUCUGGUGAGCAACCCGAUACCCAUAACGAAUGAUGUAUCUGAAACACCUUUCCCACGUGGCCCUUGAAGGAUUCACUAGAAGGUGACCAUGCAUAGUAGGUCUUCACUCGCAGGAGAAUGAGAAGGAAAUAAACCUAAAGGGGGGUUGACAGCGUAGUCUAGAAGGUGAUGAGCUGAGCGGGUGGGGGUAUUAGGGUGGUCAAGUUCAGUGGGUAUGAAGGGUGGAAAGAUGGCAUGAUAGAGGAAUAAGCAGCUGAUAGUGGGUGCGAUGAUAUAAGGUAGGUUGACUAUGGAGAGUAUGGCAUUAAAGGAUGAAGACUUAGAGAGAGAGAGGUGGGUUUAAGGGUAUGGUGAGAUGGAGGGUUGAGGGUGAUAGGCUUGGAUAGUUGCAUGAGGAGGAUGAAAGGUGGGUAUGGAAAAUGUGCAUGGGUAGGAAAUGGGUAUAACAAUGGGUGUGAAUAUUGAGAGGUAGUGAAAUGAAGGCAGCCUUGCUCGUAUGGAUCAGUGUCGGAUUGAGUUAAGAAUGGUGAGAGAAAGGGAUUCGAUGAAUAUUGAAUGAUGGAAAAUGGUGAUUGGUUAGAUAGGGAUUUGUGGUCGAAUGGAAAUAGGAGACAUGAACAUAGAGAUGAGUGUGAUGGAUGAUAGUGGGCAUGAAGGGUAUUGGAUUUGUUCAUGGGUAUAGUGGUUAAAAGAGUGGUGAGAAGAAAAAAAAAUGGCCAUGUAAAUAGCAAUUAUACAUGUGGGCCCGUGAUUGCAAACGGGACUGCAUUGUUGCAUCUCAUGCUGAACCCUCACCUCCUUCUAGGAUCAUUUUCUGCAUCAAAGCUAGAUAAACUUAGAUGGUAUUUCCUGCCAAUUUUGGAUGCCCCCCACUUUGGAAAUAUUUCCUUUUCACCCAUCAGAAUAUGCUUAUCAGGUGUACUUGACUCAGGUUCAUUCCCAUAUUGCCUCUCUGAUUUAUGAUCUUCAAAGGUUUUGCAUGAAGGAAGCCUUUCACUGCAUUCCCCUUCAUCCACCAGACCUUCAGAGCAUCGUUUCCAACAAAAGCAACCUUGACUCUUCUAGUCCCAUCAGAAAAAAGUCUGAAUAUCCUCAGUUUAUGUCAUCCCUUGAUGCCCAACUCAGAAAUGAUCCAAAAAACAGUCAUCUCCCAUAUUUGGCUUCCCAGAAACACCUCGACUCAGAUGGCCAGUCCAAAUGUGAUACCCAACAUUCUAAAAAUGCUAAAAACAGAGGAGAUGAUGAAGAAAAACAGAGCAUGUAUAAAAGAAAAAAAAAAGGACUGUUAAAUCUCACUCCAUUCCAUAAAUGCUAAUGGGGUGGAUAUGGUGGAAUCAAAAGGAAGCAAGAGCGUGAUCUUCAAAAUCAAAAGCAAUGAUGGAUCCAUAUUCAAAACGUUCCAGAAUAGAGAAAGACACAAAUAAGGAGCAGGGUUUUUUUUUGUUACUGGCAGGAAGAUAUUUUUUCUAGAGAGUAACUAGAGAGAAAAAUAGGAAGAAAAGGGAAGAGCAUAGAAGACAUCUACAUAGGAGAGUAUUCAUUGUUGUGAGGAGUAGUAGAGAGCUUAGGAGGAGUUACAAAGAGAGUGAGUUUGGUUAGAGGAGGAAGUUUUGUUGGUUUUUCAGAAAGGAUUCUAGCUUGAGUGAGAGCCAUUCUAGAGAGGGUUAGAGAGGAGAAAGGUGUGUUUUGAGCAGCAAAGACACGAAGCAAAAUAGAGCAGCCAGGAAAGAGAAGCAGAAAAUCAAAAUUACUAAAAAAUUAGUGAAAGCUGUGAAAUUUCAUAUUGUUACUAAUUAUUAUAAUUUUUUUUUGUAUUUUCAAUAUUUCAACCAAUAUUUUAUAUAAUUAAAUUUAAAUUAUAAGAAUUAUAUUAUUAAUACACAUAACUAUCUUAAUGUUUUAACAAUGUAUACUUAUUUAAAUUUAUUUCAAUUUUUUUAUUUUUUUAUAAAUAUCUAAUUAGACUUAUAAUUCAUUGAAAUUAUUCAUUUUUUUUUUACUUCAUAAACCAAUUAUAUUACUUUUUGUAUUUUCAAUAUUCAUUUGGAAAAAAUAAUUUCAAUUUAAAAUAAAAUAAAUUAAUUAACUCUCAAUUUAUAAAUUGUGUCAUUGAAUUAUUUUUUAUUUAUAAUAUUUAGUUUAUUUUAAAUUUAAUUUUUUUUCUUCACCUUUUGGUUUAUCACUUUAUAUUAAAAAAUAAAAUAAAAUUGAAUUUCUUUUAAUUUAUAUUUUCACAAAUUAUUCAAUAUUUUUUUAAUUUUUAUAAAAUAAAUCCUCAGAUUAUAUAAUUGGAUGUUGUAAAGAGUUAAAAUUUUUGUGUUGCAUUGAAUUAUUUUUUCUAACAAAAGUAUAUUUGGGUACCGUAGACAUUAUAUCCAUAUCUUAACGUAUUAUAUACUUUUAUUUUGUGCAAUUAGCAAUUGAGCGGAAGACGCGGAGCCGGCUAACGGAAAUACCGCGUGUCACGCGUGUCCCUUCCCGUACCAAGUCUCAACUGCUUCAAGAUUUCCGACGCGCCCUUCUUCGCUUAACUCUUAAGUCUUUUCUUCCACUCUUCCUUAAACCCAUCACAUUUCGCCGCGUGGACCUAAGUCUCAAUGUCCUUGUGUUCAUACGAUGUAUGUUCCCCCAAUUCCUCAUCUACACUGAAACUCCAUACUCGCCUACUCAAUCACUUCUCUACUCUAGAGUCUGGAUGCUUAUCUCUGCGCGUGUCGAUGGCUCUUCACCCCAGCGAGUAUGGCAUUACAAGGGCAAUAUCGUCAUUAAAGACACAACAGAGUGUCUAUUUUAUUUAAGCUGUACGUAAUCGUGAUUGACUUCUUAGUAUCCUUUUGCUCCUAGUCUUCUCCCGCGUCUCUUAUAAAAACUAAAGAAAACCACUCCAAGAGAGCACACUACAAGAAUCUUCUUCCUUUUUUUCUUUCCUCUUUCUCUUUACAGAUAAACUGAGAAAGCCCAGCUCAUCCCUCAAUUCCCAGAUGGGUUUCAUGAAUGUUCUCAAGUUCUCAGCUGCAUGCUUUGAUCUUCUUGGCUGGUAUGUUGUCCACGCGUUUUCUUGCCAUUGGAAAUUUUUGGGAAAUGAAGUGGAAUUCUCUGUUUGAGGACAAACAUGGGAUUUUCUUUGAUUUCUCCCUGUUGGUUUUAUCUAUAUUCUUUGAAUUACCCACAUUCUUGUCAUUGAUUGUUAGUCAUUUGUUUGGAUUUCUACUUGCAGGCCUCUAUGUGCACUGGGUUAUCCUCUGUAAGUCUUGGUCUUACACCUCAAGAUAUGAUGAUUCAUUUACUCUUUUCUUGUUCUACGAAUGGUUCAGUUACAUUUAUUGUGUUGGGAAACUGAAAAGGAAAAGGAUUAUUAGUUAUUAUCGUAAUAAUCAUCAACAUCAUCUCGGUUCUUCACAGAUGUGCUUCAAUUCGGGCAAUUGAGACUAACUCAAUCUCAGACUUUCGGAAGUUGGUGGCGUAUUGGGUUCUAUUUUCCUUGAUUUCACUCUUUGAUCAUGCUUUUUCCAAGCUCCUUGAAUGGUAAUUUUGCUCAACUGCAUUCCACUAUAUGUGACUCUGUUUGUUUCAUUUCUUUGCCCUUAAGGAAUUUGGAGUUGCUUUUUUCAGUUUUCUUUCCUAUGAAAAUAAUCGAGAGGUCUCCAUGUAUUUUAUAUUCCUUCAUUUCUCUGCUUUGACAAAGGCCCACAUUCUGAUCAGCAGAAAGGUUAUAACAUUUGAAAAAGAAGUGCUUUAUUUUUGUUUUUUGUUAGUACAAUAAUUUUCGUUUGGAUAAAUGGUCUGAAGGGUGUUUGUGUUUGGCUGAGUUCAUGGAAUUUUCUAGCUAAUUUGGGAUUUAUUCUCAAUUUCAAGAUCAUUGUGGAUAUGUCAGAAAUUAAUGAAAUAUAAACGGUGGAAUGUGAUUUUCUUGUUUAAGAAAAGUUUUUCUUUGAAAAUACGGGUGCACCUGACCUACCUUAUUGUGCUACUUGGAACACAAAACAUUAGUACAGGUAAUUUAUUAACUAAAUUGUACACUUUUUGAUAGUUCAAGGAGGUGGUUUUCUUCUUUUAGGGUGUCAGCUUUGGAAAUAGGAUGGAUCUAAAAGUUUUUAUGUCUCAUCUUUAUAGGGAACUUGAAAGCAUGGAUGCACUUAUUUCCAUGGAAUUUGGCUUCCUUGAAAUCAAAUUAAGCUUUAUGCAUCAUUUGGAUGCUGAGAAACAAAUGGAAAUAGAAAAUUCAGAAUCUGACAAGUUUUUGUAGGGCAACUGGAUCUAAUCUCUUAGUCGAAGCCUAAUUGGGGCAAAUGCUGAUCAUCUUUGGACCCCAUUGAAAGCUCUAAUCUGUGCACAAUUCUAAUGUUUUUGUUUUCUUCAUUUCUUUUUCAACUUUUCACAAUAGAUGUCAAAGGUUAAAACCAAAUUUACGCAGUCCAUCCAAGUGGAUGCAUAUAAAUUUAACAGAAACUGAAAUUCGAAGAAAUUUAUUUUCCCUUUUGUAAAUGGUGUUUAAAUAUUUUAUUUUCUUAUAUAAUGCAUGUCAGGGUACCAUUCUGGCCUUACAUAAAGCUGAUGGUCAUCUGCUGGCUGGUGAUACAGCAGUUUGAUGGUUCAUAUUAUGUCUAUCAACACCUAGUUCAGCCAUGCUUGUCCAUGGAUCCACAAGCUGUCAUGAACUGGCUCUUCAAUGAAUCAAAAAAGAAGUUUCAUAGCAGAGAAAACUUUCUUGUUUCAGCAGACCGAUAUAUUAAGGAGAAUGGACCUGAAGCUUUGGAGAAACUACUUUCUAGGAAGGUAUGCCAUUAUAAGUAGGAUUAUCAACAAGUCAAACAGAGUUUUAUUUGAGAUGUUCAGGUAAAAAAUGACUAUAGUAGGUCAUCUAGAAUCAUUUGGUCUAAAUUCAUGUAUAUAUCUAUAUAUAAUUGUGUUCUCUUUUUUUCACAUAUGCAUGUGCAUUUAGAUUUACAUAAUUAUAUAUGCAUAAUCAGAUUCAACUGUGAUAGCCCGGAAUUAUUUCAGUAAUCAACUCUUCUGGGAACAUGUUGGUUAUGGUUUCUCUCUCACUGUCCUCUUCUUUAUACAUGACUUUGGCUUCAGUUGAGGAGCGCAAAGCCUAAUGUUGAAGUGAAAAAGAUCAAAGCACCUGCAGCACCGGAGAAAAAAGGGGAACAGGUAAGUUCUCUAAUGUGACUAUUUAAUUUCUAUGAGGCAGAUCCCCAGAGAAAUGUUGCUCAUGUAAAUUACUGAUGCAUUUGAUUCAAUGGCAUGGUUUUAAAAGAAAAACCACUUUAUGUAUGUUUCUGUGAAUAAGAGAACAAGUUUAUGGAUUAAAUGAUAUUUUUUAUGGUGGAUUAAUCAAUAAUUUUCAAAAUAAUAAUAUAUUCGUGCAUGUUUUUGCAAUUCAUGAAUUCCUUUUAUGAUUGAUUCUUCUUGCCUUUUUUCUCACCUCAGUGGAAGUGUGAAGAGCCUAAUGUUGCUCAAAAGGAGAUCCAAGUUGUCAAAGUAACAGAGAUAAAAAAUGGGGGGGAUGGAGCAAAGAGGGUAAGUUUUGCUUUUUAUUUAUAAAGUAGGCUGUCUUCACACAAGGAUUAUUAUCUUUAAGACAUGAAUGUUGAAUGCUUUUGGAAUUGUCCAUGAAUCAUGUGUAGUGUGAAUGGCCUAAUGCUGCUAAGAAGGAGGUCAAAGUGACAGAAGUAACACACAGAACAUUCGGUGGUACAGCACAGUGGGUAAGGUUUCAUGUCAUAUUUAAAUGGCUCCUCAUAUUUCACUAGGAUUAAUUUUGCCCCUACAAACAUAUUUGGCUACAAGUUAAGACAGAGUUCCAGAUGCUGAUAAAGUUGAGACAUAAGUAAUGAAUGAGUUUAGAAACAUGCACAACUCUUGUGUGAAACACAAUGAGAGUGGAAAAUAGCUAAGUUGAAAAAUGGCCAAAUACUAUUUUGUAGUUCCCCCUACCACUUAAGUAAUUUUUGUCAUCCUUUGUGAAUGGAAAAUCCAGUCCCUUCAGUAAUUCCGUUAUAUUCAUGACUUGGUGAAGCAUAUAACCAUUAGUGUCUUGCCUUAAGUCGACCUUUAAUGAUGAUCCAUUGAGAUGGGUCUGACUUUUGUCAACCCUCUUAUUCCCUUGAUCAUAGAGGUUAAACUUAGGGGGCUUAACCCACUUUUGAACCUUAUUGGAUAUAUGGCACAUGGUAUCCUCUUCAUCUUGAAAGAGUGAAGUGGUCAUACUCUUUCCUCUGAGUCCAUUGUGGCCAUGCACUUCUGGCCCAUUGGGCUGAGUGAAAGGAUUCCCUUCUGCUUCAAAUCAUAGAGAGAUAUGCCAUGGUCAGCCUCUUUAAUUCAAGGGAUCGAAGUACUCAAAUCCAUUUCUCUGCAUCCAUCUUAAUUCUGCAUUCAUGUCUCAUGGUUAACCAAGAAGAUCCAGCUUCCAUCCAUGAGAUCAGCAUCUGCAGGUUUAUGACACCACCCUUCCUUGGCAUAGGAAAGGGAUCAUUAAGCCAUGUGUUGGAUGACAGAAGUCAUCAUUCAGGUUAUCUUGAGAACUAAGGAAGUUGGAAUUCUAAUUAUUGCAUAUGGUUCUUGAUGUUUAGCCAAUAUACCGUAGGAUUUUAAGGAUCAUGCUCAUGUGCAUUGUGGUUGUUUAUCAGCUAUAUGGUUUACCAAAAUGAGGGACUGAUUAUGGUCAUAAGUACCUUUUUCCUAUUAAUUUCUUGCAUGUGCUCUGCUGAGAUUAUGUUUUUGACAGUCCAAAUCAGGGCAAACCAACAAACAGCUUUAUGUUAACUUUUACAAACUGCCACAUUUUCAGGUUAAACGAACAGAGAUAAAUCUUGGUGAAACUAGAAGUAAUACAACUUGUGCUGUGGAGAUAAAAGAAAGGGCAGCGGCACUGGUGGCUGCAGAAAUUGAGGCAUGUAGAGACGAUAGAACCCCCAAGAUACCUCUUCAUGAGAAAGUCCAGAAAGAGUGGGCUUGUGCUGUAUGCCAGGUCACAACCCAAAGUGAAGCGACCUUCAAUUCCCACCUUCAAGGGAAGAGACAUCAGGCCACUUCUGAGCAGCUGAGAGCCAAAAACCAGGCAACCAAAACCAAUUGUUCCCCAUCUGCUUCAAUGGCCAAGAAAUCUGAUCAGUCCACCAAAGAGGAGCAACCGAAGUGUACUUCCAACAAUCUGAAUUCCAAAAACAAUGGAAUCUCAGCUGCUUCAACAGUGAAGAAACCUGAUGACACCAAAGAUGAUGAGCGACAAAAGUCUGCAUCUAGCAAUGAACCGAACCAGAAGAAUAACAAAAAGCAAGAGGUACAGACCAAUGAGCAAGGCCAUCAGAAGAACUUAAAGCAAACUGGCGAUGGAAUGAAAGAGUUGAGAUUAUGCUGCAAUAUCUGUAAUGUAAGCUGCACAAGUGAGCUUGACAUGGCCUCUCAUCUCAAUGGAUGGAGGCACUUUAAUAUGAUAAAGGAGGCGUCUGAAUUAUGGUGCAGUAACUGCAAUGUAAGGUGCAACAGUGAGGCUGUCAUGGCCUCUCACCGAAAUGGGAGGAGGCACUUGAAGCAGCUGAAGGAACGGUCGGGAUUAUAGUGCAGUAUCUGUAGCGUGAGAUUGUGUUAGGAAGAGGUGGAAUGGGUUCCAAUCAGGAAUUAAGACUCGGUUCCAAGACAUGGAAAGUGUCUUUAGAUUAUGUUAUCUCCAUUUUUUUUAUUGUGAGAGGGGAGUAUAAGGAAUGAAAAUAAAUAUAUAUAUAUUUUUUAAUAGAGAUGAAUUUGAUAAUUUUAAUUAUUGUGUUUUGAUGUAUUUAGGAAUGUAAAAUUAAAAUAAUUAUUUAUUUUCAUUUUAGUAUUUGACAAUAAUAAAAUUAUGAAUUAAAAAAUAAUGUGAUAAUAAUACAUUUAUAUUUAAUUUAAAAUAUUUUUUAUUUUAUUUUAGAAGAAUAUGGGUUAAAUUCUUUUUUUAAAUAAUAAGCUUAAGAAAAAUAAUUUUUACUCAAUAAAUAAAAUUAAUCAUAAAAAGUCAUAACAACCUAAUAAAAAUAUAGGGGUAAAAUAAUAAUUUUAAAAUAUUAUUUAAGUUAUCCAAACAAAUUUGACUCUUCAUUCUCUCUCUUGAACCAAAUACGGUCUUUUAAGCGUUUGUCAACUUAUUUUUUUUUGCAAAAUAUCAAUAUUUUACUAAUAUUUUUAUCGAUUAUUUGCCAAUAUUUAUCGCCACGUCACCAAUUCUUUGAGUUUGACUUUCAAAAUUUUGAAAUGAUAUUUGAAGUCCAGUUCAGCCCAAAUCACUACACCCAUGAUUUUUCCCUUUUCUUUUUCUCCUUAAUUUUCACAUCACCCAACAACACUACUCUUAAUUCACACAAAUUUGAAGGUUUGGAACGAGACUUCUUCCUAAUUAUAUUGUAAUUAUGUUAUAAUAACCAUGUCGUAUUUGGAUUUAUUUAUUCAGUCCAUCUAAAUCUUUUGUUUAUUCAUGUAAAAAGAAUAUAGUUAUAAUCGAAUCCAUUUGUGACAUAUUCAUCUUUUAUAAAUUUAUUAAUUUUAUAUAUUUAAAAACUAUAAAAAUUAAAUAUAUUUUUUCAAUUAUGAAUAUCAUAUUACUAAAAUAUUAAAUAACUAAUUAACUUGAAAUGUUUUAUAUUUCAUUCAUUAUUUUAUAAUUACAACAUUAAGUGAAAUAAUAAAUAGGUUAAAAUAUAUAUUUUAUUUUAGUUAAAAAUUAUAAAUUGUUAUUGAGACGUAUAACUAUUAAAAUUCUACCCAUUUGACCAUCAAACAAACAACUUAAGUUUUUAGUCAUAAUUUAAGCUUCUGAUAAACUCUAUUUCCAUAAAUUAGAAACCGAAAUCAAUUUCUUCUUAGACUCAAAAACAUAAAGACAAUCUUUUAAUUCUAGAAGACAUCUAUCAUUUAAGAUAAGGGUAACAUAUCCCAUUGCCUAAACAACAACUCUUGCUUCAAAAGCCAAUGUCAAGUACAUAUCCCUAUCAUUCAACCUUUCCCUUAGCUAAAACCCCUAUAAAGAAUUAUAAACAUAAUCAAUGGCUCCAAAAUUUAUCCACCAAGAGUUAGUGGAAUCCAACACUAAACAUAAUUCAACUAUAAGAGAAUGAUGCAUAGUUGACUAUCUCUUCAAGAACUAAGGACAUUCCUUCUUCUUCUAAUGGCAUUUUUUACCACAAAGGAAACACUUGUCAUGACCCUUACUCUUCUUCUUCUUCCCCUUAGCCUUAAACUUCCCCUUCUGCUUGAUGAACUCUAUAGUGUUCUUCUUAUUUUGGCUAGAAAAACCUAAAGAACCCUUAACUGCCAUAUAAAUACCUCUCUGGUCCUUGAGAAUUCCCUCAGUCAUUUUGUGUUCUCUCAUUAGUUCAAUUGUAGUUUAAGAAAAAUAAUGUUUUUUAUUUUAUUUUAUGUGAUUGAACUUGGAAUGAAUUUCCAAGUUGCAUACAUACUUGGGUUGAGAUCAAGUCAUAACGUAGUUUAAGAAAAAGAUUUUUUAUUUUUUAUGUGAUUGAACUUGGAAUGAAUCUCUAAGCUACCUACGUAUCCAAGAUGGGAUCAAGUUCUAACAUAGUCACAAUGCAGUUCAAGAUUUUUUUUUUUCUUUUUUUGUGCUCUAACUUUUGUCAAGACUAAAGAUCUUAAUCUUGCAAGCAUGUCCUAACUUUUGUCUAGGUCACCUUUCCAAGUUUUCAACUUAGCAAACAUUUUUUUUUUUUGUUCUCUAACGUUUGCCAAGACAAAAGAUUUUAAUCUUGCAAGCAUGUCAUAACUUUUACCUAAGUCAGAUUUUUAGGUUUUCAAUGUGGUGGAUUUUUUUGUUUUUUAUUUUUUAUUUUUUAUUUUUUGUGUCGUAGGCAAUUUAGCUCAUACGGCCCAGAAGCGAUGUGUAGUUUGUUGGGAUUCAACCCUUAAAAGCAAAACAUGAUGUAACAAAGUUAGACUUAACUAUCCCCUUGCUAUCAUUUUGGUGUAUUAACAUUGAUUUAAACAUUCAACUCAUAUUUUACAUUGUACAUGACUUAGGUGCAUUAGGAGUUGCUCAUAAGAUACAUGGAUUCCUUGUAAGUAGAUGAGUUAUCCAUAGUCAGUUCAUGGAUUUGGGCAAUCUAGUAGAGACUGUAAUGCACCACCUCUUAAUUGAAGAGAUGACUUGUCUUGACAGUUGGGAUAGGUUUCCUAUGGUGAGUGCACUAGUAUAUAUGAUGCACAUUGGAUAGGACCUACGGUAAAUCAUGAGCAAAGCUAUCAAUUGUCAUGAUUCACCAAGUUACGAUACUGCAUGGACUCUCAAUCUUGAGAGGACAUUGAACCUGUGCCAAAAUCAACAAAAAGCUUUCACCUAUAGAUGAGACCUUAAAGUGAUCAUAUAUCCCUAUGGAUUGAGUCACUAUUGAUGAAGGUUGGUGGUAAUAGGUAUUCUCAAUAGAGGCACCAUGAUAUCUCAUGAGAUUGAGACGGUGUGUCCCCUUGGGUGAUACAAAGGACAUGUGAUCAUAAAAUCUGUGACCAUAGUAAUUCUUUUAUUGAAAUUUGACAUAUACCCCUUCGAGCUAGAGUAUGUCAGUUGAUUACAUAAUAAGUGGCAUCUAUAACUUAAGGAUUUGAGAGGUAAUCUUGAUAGGUGAUAGCACUACCUUGUUAGAUUAUGGACACCAGUUCAUGGGGAAUCUACAUGCAGUGGAUGAUAUGUCACGAACGCGAGCUUCAUAUCGUUGUUAUUAACAUAGGAUACUGGAGUGCAAUUGAUUCUCUUUAGUAGAAUGUUGAAUCAACUUCAAAAUGGAUUAUGAGGGAGCCAAUACUCCUAUGGGUCUUAAUGGUCCCCACUCUGAGCUCAUAUACCAUGAUGACACAGUUUAUGAGGGUUUGAUUGGCUUUAUGUUCAUUUUUGUGCAUAAGGGCAUUUUGGUAAUUACACAAGGUUACAUAGGGGAUAGUCAAUAAGGUCUUUAGAUUGGGCCAAUUGAUUAAUUAGAUGACCUUAUGUGGUUAAUUAAUCAAUUAUGAUAUGUUUAGGCUAGAUUAAAUGACCCAAGCCUUGAUGAAUUUAAGUCACUUAAGCCUAGCAGAUAACCUUAUAAAUACCCUCUUAUGGGUUAGGGUUUCCUAAUGACUUUCAGUUAAUCAUCUUCCAUCCCUAGAAAGAGAAAGAGAGCCAAAUCUUUCUCCCUUCCAUUGCCCACACUUUGGUAUGCCAAGAUCAUGGUUCAAGUCACUGGGAGGAAGAUCUUGGGUGUACAAGACCUUCGGACUCUUUAAGUUUCUUCUUCGUUGGAUGAAUUUUUAUUUGGGACACAUCUAGAUCAUAAGUAUGUGUUAGAAAAUUUGGCUAAUUCAACUUAAGGUAAUCACUCUAGAGGAGGGGUGAAUAGGGUGAUGAUCUUUUUUUACAAAUUUAAAUUAUGUGAAUGCAAGAGACAAUUAUACUAUGCAAAUAUAUAGUAAAACCAUAUAAAAAUAAUUGCAUAUAAAGUACAAGGGUAGAAAAUAGAGAAUAUAAACACAAGAUUUUUAUAGUGGUUUGGUGCAACUCGGCCUACAUCCAUUCUCCUCUAGCUUCAAUCCCAAGUUUGAGGUUCCACUAAUUCAAGGCUUCCAACCUAACCCUUCAAGCAAUACAAUUGGAUUAUGGUUCCAAUCAAACCUUUUGGACUUUUGGCUCUAAGCACCUUUUACAAUCUUUGAUUCGUGCCUAACUGGUGUUUGCCCUGUUGAUUGGUGUUCAAUCAACUGAUGUGCUUUGAUUUCAGUCCUCAGACGAGAGUAAUCAACAAAAUUUAUAAACCUAUUUCACCAUAUACUAGGGUAGCAUUAGCUAGCAUAGCAUAGUGGCUCUAGGAUCGUCCACAGGGAUGGGUUUUCAAAUUACAAUUGAUAUUAGUUCAAAAACUGAAUUGGUGUUUUUUCUUUUCAAGGUUAGCUUUAAAAGAAAACAUAAGUAUGUGUGAAAAGGUUGGUUUUAAGUGAAACCAAAAAUAAAGUAACUGAAAUUACUUACAAAGAAAAGUGCUUCUUGGAGUUUUAGAUCACUAGGCUCAAGUUCCUUAUACAAAAAGAGAGAUUCCGAUCACUUGGAUCUUUUCCUAGCAUUGGGGAUUUAACAUAUAGUUAUUUCCCGAACCGGUGCGGUACAGAUGCUUCCCCUUAAUGGUUUCAAACACUAAAUCUCUAUCACUGAAUCAUCUUGUAAUGGUUCAUACCUCUCACCUGGUAUUGGUCAUUUAAGGUGAUCAUUAACCUUGGAUUACCCGUCAAAAGCUCGCAAAAGAUAACUAAUGAAUGUCUCCUAGGAGUCCAAAAGCUUACCAAGUGUUGGCUAUUCUAGAUAAUCCUACCUUUAAACCAUCUCCCAAAAGCUCGCAAGAGAUAAACUAGUGGAUCUCAAUGGACGGAGUCCACUUGCCUUACCAAGUGUUGGCCCAAGUGAUUUUAAGGGAUUUUAAGUUAACUAAAAAGAUAAAAACCAUUAACGGGUCACACUUUCUCUUCAUUAAAACCUGAAACAAUGAAACUUCCACUUUUGUAUACGAAACCUUACCUAGCUUCCUUCACUCCAAGAAACAAAAAGCCUAGCCACUCAUCCUCUAGGAAAACAUCCUCAGAGUUUGAUUUGGUAGAAAUAAAAAUAAAAGAGAAAACCAAAUGUGAAGGUAAGGCCGAGCAGAGCUCUGUGUAUUACUUUAUGAAAAACUAUACAAAAUUUGUCUCUAAGAGAAACUCCCCCGAGAUCUCUUUUAAAAGAAAAUUACAAUAGAUAUCAUAUAAAGAGGCUAUUCACCCCUCUUGCUAACUUCCCAACCAUGAAAACUUGUCAAUGGUGGGUUACAAGGAGAAAAUAGGGAUUUACACACAAAUAUUUGAAGAUAAACAUCAAACUGAGUCGGUGCGCAAAUAUCUCAGAUUACAAGUGGAUUUCGCAAGUUCAAACGCAACUUGCAAAAAUUUUGCAAGUUGAAAUUAUGGUUUCGCAAGUUGCGAAAUUGUCCUGCAACUAAUCAGCUCUCUGUCCUACAACAAUUCCUUUCCUCUUCCUAUUUCGCAAGUUGUGAGAAUUUCGCAAGUUGGAUUCCACAACUUGCAAAAUUGUUGGAUGGUUGAUUUCUUUUGUGAUUUUCUUCCUUGCAUCCUCAUUUGGCUUUGGCAAAGGGUUAUGAAGCUCCAAAGCUUAGUUUCUUCAUGAAUUUGAGCUUCAACUUGCUUUGCCAUGAACUAUACAAAGAUCUCCCUCAUUCUUGGAUUGCUUUGGUGAUAAAAAAGCUAUGAAAAACACCAAAACUUAACACAAUUUGAUUAGAAACGAUUGUAAGGGUCUUUAACAUGCCAAUUGAGUUAAAAGGUAAUAGCUACUACUCAAAAGUGUUUAAAAGAGUUAAUUACAAGCUAUAAAAUGACCCUUUUUGAAGUUCAACCCCUUAAGUGAUACCCCUUAAGUGAUACCCCUUAAUUCAAGAGAUGUCUUACUCUUAAACAACCCCUUAAGUGAUACCCCAUACUUGAGAUUCCCUAAGUGAUGCCUCACACUUAGAUUUUUCAUCUCAAAGAUUUACAAAUGAAGAUAGGAAAUAAUCUCACAAAAUCUUAAUACAAAACAUUAGGCUCAAAUGAUACAAGAUAAACUAUGAUUGAAUGGUGCACUAAUAAUAUGCAAGUUUUAAAACAAUGAGUACUAAAAAACACUCUCCUAAGGUUCAAAUAUAUUCAAGAAAGAUUUAAGAAGGUUAAACUCUUGAAACAAUAAAGAUUGAAACCUUUUUAUGGAGGAGAAAUGCCAAACUAGUUGUUGGGGGUUUGUCCAGUCGAGUUCUGGUUUGACCGGUUCACUAACCGUUAGCAUUUAAUGCAUGAUAGGUGAUCAUUGGGCCUUGACCAUCCCUCGACCAGUACUCAACCGGAUAAAGUUCAACCUUAAUCAAUCGAAUAAGCAUUCUAGAAUAGAGAGAAGGUUUUUGCACCUUUCAAUCAGUUGAGUUGAACAAAUAGACGGAUUCCUUAUCCAGUUCAACCGGUUGAGCCAUUUUUGGCUCAACAAUCAUCAUUUUCAACUUAAAACCUUUUAAACAAGUUUAGAAAGCAUUUGACACAAGGAUUUAGUUGAAAACAUUAAAUCAUCCUAUUUUUAAAAGAUUUAAAACAAAAUACCUCUUGAAUGAUUUUGGUGUAUAAGUAAAUAAUGUAAUGCAUGAAAAACCCAGUGCGCCAACAACCUUACAAAGAGAUCUUAUGAGGCUUAGGUAUUGAAAAACACUUCUCUUUAAGGCAGACAACAUCGUGUGAAUACCAAAGGGGAACUCUACGUUCCUAGGGAAAGAUGCCUCGUCAGUACGUCUUGAGGUUGUUCACUAACUUCGGGGUUACCGGCUUUGAGAGGAGCCCUUUGAUGACAUUUGGGCAUGCAACUCUUCAUUUUCUUCCUUGAUUCGCCUUGUUUGGUGGAUCAAAGAUUGCAUAUGCCAGUCAUUUUUGCACUAGGUUCUCUCCAUGCUUUCACGCCAGCCAAAGUAGCUUUCGUUACCCAUAGUUGAGGAUCGGCUUCUAAAGGGUACUAACAUCCUUAGUCAUUCCCACAGAUGACACCAAUGUUGGUUCUGAGUCGGCUGAAGUCAAAUUCAUCCAACUUAACGGAAGUUUGACAACCUUCCUCCAUUUUUUGUGCCUCUUAGAGAAUCCACCUAGCAGUAAUGAGAUUGGGCGAACUCCUUUCUUGCACAAAAGAAUGUUCAGAUGAGUACUUCGGGUACGCCCUUCGAAGCUUAAGUGAGGCAAAAAUAGCUCAAACUACUUAAUGAGAGAGAGUGGAUAGGUGAAUAUGUGCCUACCUUGUUCGUGCUUUUUGAGGGGUUUAUAUAAUGUUGAUGAGAAUGCCACUAUAGUGCUUACUAGACACUUUAACUUUCUUCUAUAAUGAUGAUUGUCUUGCAGGCGGUUGGGCAAUCAUCAAAAUUUUGGGUGGCUGAUAGGUGCCAUCAACUAACGUGCCAUGAUCUUAGACCAUGCAGUAACCUGUUCCCUCAGUCUGUUGAUGGCCUAAGGUUAUGUGCAACAAUUAAUUGACAUGGACUUGAGGGCUAGAAGAGGUCCCAUCGGCCGUUCACAUGUCAAGUGUGAAUGAUCACUCAUGCUAGUGGGUCUUGAAGAUUUGACUAGACAACCUUACCUAUUUGGGAGGUCCAACCUCCCAUUGCCGUUGUUUUGGCCUUAUAGGAGAAAAGGGCUUUCUCAUGUAUGGUGCUAGAGGGACUAGUCGUGAUCCAGAUGAGUUGCAUACCCAUGCUAGAUGGUCGAAGUGUCCGGGUUGGAAAUGGAGGGAAGCCUCCCACAAAUAUGAGGGAGCCUUAUGAAAACGGAUCCUUAGGGCUUAAGAAGGGGUUUUCAAUUUUAAGGUUUGCCUUUUCACCCAAGGAUGUGAAUGGGAAGAUGAGGCGAAGUUAAAAGAUUGGUGAAGCAAAGUGAGGGCAAGGUAGGGUUUGAAUAAAGGAAAGUAUACACUAUUAAUGAAGAUGAUAAUCUCUAGAAAGAAAAACUAAGGUAAACUAGGGCUUUAAUAAUAAUUUUCAAUCUACACUAGUGAAGAGGAUAUCUUCGAAAACCAAAGUUAGGGCUUCAAUAACGAAUUUCAAUCUACAAUGGUGAAGACAAUAAUCUUCGAAAACCAAAUCUAUAAUGAUGAAGAUGAUUGAAAACUAAAUCUAUACUAGUGAAGACGAUUGGAAAGCAAAUCUACACUGGUGAAGACAAUGAAACCAAAUGUAGGUCUUCUAAACUAAACGCUUUUAAGGAUUUUCCUUUUUUUUUUCCUUUGUUUUCAAGAAAGGCAAACUCUUUAGAAAACUAAAAAAACUAAUGCAUUCUUAGAUCCAGAUCACUAUUUCCAACAUGGUAUUUGGAUUGCCAGCUUGCAUUUUUUAUUUUUUUAUUUUUUUAAUAGUCAUUGGCAUUUUAGGGAUUAUUGAAGGAUAAUAUCAUUCAGCUCAAUUUCCCAAAUUAGUUAGGUCUUACACUCAAAUGUGAAACUUAUAUGGAUGUUAGGCCAAUUAUCAAACUCAUCUGCCCUAAAACAUAAUUUCCCUUUUUUAAAAUAGUUGUUAAACAUCUAUCCCAAACACGUUUAACCCUUUGAAUUGCUUGUAUGUUAACCUUGUUUCCUUUUCUUCAUGCAACAUGGCUUAUUGAUGGUUGCAUUGAAUCAUUAUCAUUCACCAAUUCCAUGCAACUAUGGACUACAUUUCAAAUCCCUCGAACAUAAAUGGUAAUUCCAAAACAACUCAAGUAUAAUCUUUUCAACCCUUUCAAAUGAUUUAAUUAAUUGAUUUUUGAAUAUAUUCAUAUAUUUUUUUGAGCAAUUUUUAGGCAUAUAACAUAAAUCUCUUUUUUAUAUAUAUAUAAAAGGUUUUAUAUUUUAUAUUACAAUUUCCUUUUGUUUUUUCAUCUAAAAAACAAAACAUAAAACCUUAAUAAACGAGUUUUGUCACAAUCCCUUAACAAGUAAUCUAUUUUUUAAAUUACUUUAACAUUUUUAGAUAUAUUGAUUCAAUCUAAUUUACUUUUAAUAUUUUUUAUAAAAUAUUUUUACUUUAUAUGACUAUAAAUUAAUUACUAUUGAUUGCAUAUUAUAGAAUAUAUAUUCUAAAAUAUAUCUUAUUGACAAUAUAAUCAUAAGAUGUUAUAUCCAUAUCCUAACAUAUUAUAUACUUUUAUUUUGUGCAAUUAGCAACAUGGUGGGAAGUGGCAAGCAGCUUAACGGAAAUGUCAUGUGCCAAUGUGCCAUGCGUGUCCCUUCCCUUAGUGAGUCUGAACUGCUCCAACAUUUCCGACAUGUUAUUUUUUACUUAGCUCUUAAGUAUUUUCGUCUCGUUUUCGUUAACCCCAUCACAUUUCGCCACAUGGAUCUAAGCCUCAUGGUCCUUUCGUUCGUACAAUGAAUGUUCCCCCAAUUCCUUAUCUACACUAAAACUCCAUACUCGCCAUCUACUCAACCACUUCUCUACUCUAGAGUUUGGGUCCUUUAUCUCUGCACGUGUCUAUGGCUUUUCACCCCAACAAGUAUGGCAUUACAAGGGCAAUAUCGUCAUUAAAGACCCAAAAGGGAAACCAAUGGCAUUAUCUUCCUUUUGGUCUAUUCUAUUUAUAUUGUAAGUUAUUCGUGAUGACUUCUCCCAUAAAAGCUAAAAACCACUCCAAUAGAGCACACUUCACUUCUUCAUUUUUUUUUUUCCAGAUAAGCUCAGAAAGCCCAGCUCAUCCCUCAACUCCCCGAUGGGUUUGAUGAAUGUUCUUAAAUUCUCAACUGCAUGCUUUGAUCUUCUUAUCUGGUAUAUUGUCCACGCAUUUUCUUGUCAUUGGAAAAUUUUGGAAAAUGAAAUGGAAUUCUAUGUUUGAUGACAAAACUGGGAUUUGCUUUGAUUUCUCCAUGUUGGUUUUAUCCCUUUUGUUUGAAUUGUCCACAUUCUUGUCAUUGGUUGUUAGUUAUUUGUUUGGAUUUCUACUUGUAGGCCUCUGUUUGCACUGGGUUAUCCUCUAUAAAUCUUGGUCUUACACACCAAGAUAUGAUGAUUCAUUUACUCUUUUCUUGUUCUAUGAAUUCUUAGUUCUGUUACAUUUAUUGGGUUGGAAAACUGAAAAAGGAAAGGAUUAUUCGUUAUUAUCAUAAUAAUCAUCAACGUCAUCUCAAUUAUUCACAGAUGUGCAUCAAUUCAGGUAAUUGAGACUAACUCGAUCUCAGACAUUCAGAAGUUGGUGGCAUAUUGGGUUCUAUUUUCCUUGAUUUCACUUUUUGAUCGUACUUUUUCCAAGCUCCUUGAAUGGUAAUUUUGUUCAACUUCAUUCCAUCAUAUGUGGCUCUAUUUGUUUCAUUUCUUUGCCCUUCAGGAAUUUGGAGUUGCCUUUUUUAGUUUUCUUCCCUGUGAAAAUAAUCGAGAUGUUUAAUGUUCCAAGCCUCCAUGUAUUUUAUUUUCCUUCAUUUCUCUGCUUUGAUAAAUCCCCAUGAUUUGAUCAGCAAAAAGGCUAUAACAUUUGACAAAGAAAUGCUUUAUUUUGGUUUUUUAAGUACAACAAUUUUCAUUUGGAGAAAUGGUCUAAAGGGUAUCGGUGUUUGGAUGAAUCAUGGAAUUUUCUCGCUAAUUUGGGAUUUAUUCUCAAUUUCAAUAUCAUUGUGGAUAUUUCAAAAAUUAAUGAAAUAUAUAUGAUGGAAUGUGAUUUUCUUGUUUAAGAAAAGUUUUUCUUUAAAAAUUUAGGUAACCCUGACCUACCUUAUUGUGCUACUCGAAACACAAAACAAAAGUACAAGUAAUUUAGUAACUAAAUUGCACACUUUUUGAUAGUUCAAGGAAGUGGUGUUAGCUUUGGAAAUAAGAUGGAUCUACUAGUUUUUAUUUCUCAUCUUUAUAGGGAACUUUCCAUAAUAUAGCUUAUAAAUACCAUAAUCACAGUGAUGAAUAAUUGUCUUGUUUGAAAGCAUGGUUGCACUUAUUUGCAUGGAAUUUGUCUGCGUUGAAAUUAAAUUAAGCUUUAUGCAUCAUUUGGAUGCUGAGAAACAAAUGAAAAUAGAAAAUUCAAAAUUUGACAAGUUUGUGUAGGGAAAUUGGAUCUAAUCUCUUAAUCGAAGCUUAAUUAGGGCAAAUGUUGAUCCUCUUUGGACCUAUUGAAAGCUCUAAUCUGUGCACAAUUCUAAUGUUUUUGUUUCCUUAAUUUCUUUUUCAACUUUUCAACAAAGCAUCAAUUUGCUAUAAUAAAUGAGAACCAACUUGACGAUGAGAAAAAUGACUGGUGAUGAUGUCAUAGAGAAUCGCAGAUGAGAACAACCAAAAAUACUAGGAUUGGUACCACUGAUGGUAAUGAAGAAAACACAAAAAUGGUGCAAAUGGUGAACAGGAAACUCAAAAUGGAAUGGGAAAAGAAACCUAAACAAUAGUCUCCUAUAUAAAGCACACAACAUGUACAUCGAGGCAUCUGAAAGGACACGCUGCCUGAGAAGUCACUCUAAUUGAUGUGACUCCUCAUGACGUGGGUGGUGGACAUAUGUCCCAUGGUGCCAAAAAUUUCAAACACUCAAGCAACCGAAUACUUUCACUUAGUCAUUUAAAGCCUAGCUAGACUCAAUUGCAAGAAUUAAGGGCAUUGUGGGAUGCUCACCACCGUCUAUCAUGGUCCUCAAACACUGUCUGGUGUGAGACAUAUUGGCACAAGAGCCAUGUAGCUUCUCUAUCCACCCCAAGAUACUCCUAGGGUAGCAAACGAACACAAUCCGACCAAACACUAUGCAUUCCUACCCUACAAGCAUUAAUUUCAAUGAGCAAUAAGUGUAUUAACACAUUAAUGAAUGCAACCGUUAUAACGCUAAAACGCCAUACUUUAAGGUUCAUCAAGACACAACAACCAUUAUGGGCCGACAAUUAUUGGCGUUAAAUAUGGUAAUGCGCAAUCAAAGGCUCAAUUAAGGCCCUUUAGAAGACGUUACUAUUGGGCAAAGAUAAAUAACCAUUUUUUACCACAAGAAAGUCUGAUGCCAUUUUUUUCACAAAAACUUUUGCUUAAGUCUUCCAUCUCUAACCUAAGCUUUGAAGGGGUGUACUUGGAAAACCUAUCCGAACAUUCCUUUAUGUAGGUGCAAUCAUCGUUUAUGUCACGCGAAGGCUAGUCAAAGACCUUUAUUGGUCGUGCACCAAUAAAUCUAUUUAGUAUAUCUCAUUUAUCCGUUCAAGUGAGAUGAAGGAGUGACCUAAAGAUAGAUUGGAAACAUCAUAGUUUCUUAUAUUGGUAAGGCAGCAACAACCUCGGCUAGUGCAUCAACCUGCUCGUUUUCCUCUAGGGGUACGCGUUUGAUAAACCAUUCAUUCAAUUUUUCUGUUCAAGUGUACCAAAGAGAGGUAAUGAGCCAUGCAUUCAUCUCAAGCUUCAUAUUUUAGUUAGAUUUGUUCACCCACUAGUUGUGAAUUGCUUUUGAUUUCUACUUUCAUGGUUGUGAGAGCUAAGGCUAGAUCGUCUCAUAAGAAUUGCUUCAUAUUUUGCCUCAAUAUUAGAUACUGGAAAGUUGAGACAGACGACUUGUUCAAUUUGCUCUCCUGUAAGGAAUUGUUGUGUUAGUCCUAUCCUAGCUUCUGAUGUUCUAGAGGCUUCGUCUACAUGGAGAACACGCCAUUGUUCUUCAUUGUUAGACCUUGUCCAUUUUUGGGGUGGUUCGACUAUGAAAUCAAUGAGAACUUGCUAUUUGAGAUACUAAUGAGGUUUGUACCGUAUGUAAUAUUCACUCAAUUUGAUUGCCCAAUUCACCAUUCGACUAGAUAGAUUUAGCUUGUGCAACGUGACCCACAACGGUUGAUUUGUCAAGACCGUUAUUUGGUGCGCCUGAAAAUAUGGACAAAGCUUCUUGGCAGCGAUCCGUAAGUUCAGAGCCAUUUGUUCCACUUAAGAAUAUCGUGUUUUUGUGUCAAUCAUAGCUUUUCUCACAUAGUAAAUAAGUCUUUGUUCAUUACUCUAAUUGUGUGGAAACAAUAUGACAUUGACAGCAAAGUUUGACACAACCAGGUACAUGUAUAACUCUUCUCUAGCUUCAAGACUACUUAAGAUUGGUGGCUUCGUAAGAUACUGUUUGAUGUCUUUAAAGGCAUGCUCACACUCAUCCAUCUAACUAGACAUCUUUGCUCCCUAGAGUUUGCUCAAGAAAGGUCUGAGCUUAUUUAUGAAGCGUGUUAUGAACCAACCUAAGGUGAUUAGACACCCAGUUAGACGUUGCACUUCCUUCUUGCUAGUAGGAGCAGGGAUUUCUAACACUACUUUCACUUGAGCCAGAUCGACUUCAAUACCCCCUUUGAGUCACCAUGAACACAAGAAACUUCCACUCACUUACUCUAAAUGCAUAUUUUAUUGGAUUAAGCUUCAUGUCAUACCUGCACAUUAAACUGAAUGCUUCUUCCAAAUGGAGGAGCUUCUUGGAACGAGUUAUUCUCUUAAUGACAAUGUCAUCGAUAUAGACUUCCAACGUUCGACCUAUCAAGGGCUUAAAAAUAUGGGUCAUCAACUGUUGGUACGUAGCUCCAAUGUUCAUUAACCCAAGCGACAUGAUCUUGUAAAAGUACAACUCCUUAUGUGUAAUAAAUGUCAUCUUCUCUUUGUCAUGUGGAAACAUUGGUAUCUGGUGGUAUCCAAAAGAAGCAUCAAGAAAAGACAACAUUCCAUGCCUGGUUGUGGCAUCGACUAUCUAAUCUAUCUAGAGCAAUGGGAAGCUAUCUUUCAAGCAGACUUCAUUCAUAUCCACGUAGUCUGCGCACACCUGCCAUUUUUCUCCUUUCUUGGUACCACUACCACAUUUGUUAACUAGUCCAAGUAGGUCACCUCCUUGAUAAAUCUUCCUUUUAAUAGCUUCUCAACUUCUAUCUAGAUAAUUUUUUGAUGAUCCAACUAGAAACGUCAGACUUUAUAUUGUAUGGGUCGUGCUGUAGGAAGAAGGUUCAACUUAUGAGAGCUCACCGCUAGGUCUAUUCCAAGCAUUUCCGAAUGAAUCCACACGAGGAUAUCCUUGUUUUUACAAAGCAUUUCACCAACAUUACCACAUUCAUCCCUAGUUAGCAAAAAAUUAGCGUAAGUCAUCUGCUUAUUAUUUUUCGACAAAGAUAGCUAUUGUAAUAGGCUGAUUGCCAAUGAGUCUCUAUCCUCUAGUUUUCCUUCGACCUAAUUCUAUAAUUGUUAUUAGCUCUCUCUUGAUGAUUUGAGUUCAUCUUUAGUUGGGCCUGAACUCCAUCGCCACUUAGUAACACUACUAGGUGGCUAAUUGGAUUCCAUGUGGAUCCACUUACCCAAAUUCUGUCAGGUAGCUCACCAUCUUAUGAUAGGUGGAUGGAAUAACUUUCAUCUUAUGUAGGUACGACAACCUUAUGAUGGUGUUGUACGACGGUAAAUCCUCUACUAUAGAAAAUCAUACGUUGAGAGUAGGCGGGUUGGCUUGGACAAGAAGUACCACGUCGCAUAGUGAUAUUGUGGCAACCCUAUUAAACCCAAACAAAAGUCGAACUAGAUUUUCUAAGGCAGAUGACGAACAUCCCAUUUUCCUGUAGGUUGACAUAUGCAAUAAAUUGGAAUGAUCAUUUUAGGAAGGAUCACUUGAUUAAUGUUAAUUGAAGGGAAAGUGAUUGGGUCAUUGACUGGUCGGGCACUUUCGACAGUAAAUGUGCACUGAACUGCACUUACUCUUUCCCUCCCUGUAGUCGCACAGAGCAUUCGUCUCCUUUGUUGUUUGGAGUGAUAUUUGUCAUCUACUAUUUCCCCAUGGAUAUAGUUAAUCACUACUCGAUGUGUUGUGGGAGAGUCAGGAACUCACUCUGACACUUCACGUGUCAUUUCUUUAUGUCCACCAGUUGCUCAGACAUACAACUUGAGAUGUCCGGUAAUGAUUAGUUUCUCCACCAAGUAGUGCAAAUUUUUGCACUCUUCUGUGGUGUGCCCAUGCUCCUUAUGAUAGAAUCAUCGCAAUCCUCGAUCAUGCUUGGACGAAUCAGUUUUGAUGGGCUCUAGCCACUUGAACUCGAGCAGCUCUCAAAUCAAGAGGAGAAUUCUAUCAUAAAAAAUGGUCAACGGGGUGAGCCUAGGCGAUUAUCAUUGUUGUUGUCUUUCUUGUCCUUGAUUAGUCUAUCUAGACUGGCUUGAGGGCUUUAAGCUCUUAGCCUUCUUUUUUAAUUGCUCGGUUUAUAACCAGGAUUUGUUGAGAGGUUACCUAAACAUCCUCCUCAAGCAUGACAUGUUUGCCCACUCGUCUAAAUAGGUCAUUCAUUGUAGUGGGCAACUUUUUGGCCAUGGACUUGAAGAAUUGAGUGCUUGGACUGAUGAUCCAUUUGAAGAUCUGCAGGAUAGCAUCCAUGUUGUAAGAUUCCAUCUAGAACACCGCUUGUCUGAAUCACUUCAUGAAGUCCCUUAGCGAUUCAUUCUCCUACAUCUGAAUGUUCUAUAAGGUGCUUAUAUUCUGCUUUUGGCGAGCAAAACAUAAAUAAUGGCCCACAAAGGCCUCUAAAACAUCUGUCAUCUGUUGUUGGAAGUGCAUCAGGUGAACAAAAGAGUCACCAUCCCAUAGUAAAUAGUAAAUUUGGGCACCGGAAACCCCUGGGCAGCUCAUAACUAAUGAUAUGUGGGUCAAACGACAUGAAGAGCAUGUCAUCCAAUCAUCUACUUAUGGAGUCAAGAGGGGCUUUUGUCAAUGGGUUAUUUGUCGAUUGUAGUUCUAGUAUUGAACAUUAAGGCAGACGGCUUGGUGAUGCCUCAUCGUUUGAUUGGCCUAAUUGUGCUUUCAAGGCCUCCAAUAUGCAUGGCGAUGCUAGUGUUCUUCUCUCCUGAUACCCAAGAUAGGCUUUCAGGGCAUCUGAGAGACGUAAGCCCCAUUCUUAACCCAUUUUCCAUUUUUCUCCAAUAGAGCUUGCAACCUCUUUCGCUUGAGUUCGAUCGACUACUGAAUGCACUAGUUCAAGUAAUGUUAGCGAACUGCUAGUAGACAAUCCCUCAUCCACUGUUUGUAGAGACGACUUAGUGUAUCAUUGAAGAACUUUCAUUGUUUGGCUUCAAACUACUCUUGAAGUCGUCUAUUGGUUGGAGGUACGAUGACUUUUUUAUCAGCACCCCAUAGCCACUUGUGCUCGUAGCUCUUGGUUCUCUUGCUGUAGUUGUUCUGCCUGUUGGACAGGGACUACAUAGGUUAUUCAUAUUCUUCUUGCUUUUUUUCUAUCUUUCCUUGCCAAGCUUGGAAUCGCUCGUCAACAUUUGCAGAAUGAGUUGCAGGAGGCGUGUUAACCAUCGUGUUUUUUAGGCAUUUGUGGUUGAUUCCCAUAGACAAUGCCAAUGUUGGUGCACGACCAGUAAAAAAAGGUGUUUGGCUAGUCUCCAUGUAACAUAGAUGACGAUUGCACCUGCACAAAGGAAUGUCUGAAUGGGUUUUUCAGGUACACCUUUCCAAAGCUUAGGUCAGAAAUGGAAGACUUAAGCAAGAGUUUUUGUGGAAAAAUUGGUAGCAUACUUUUCUUGUGGUUAAGAAUAACUAUUUAUCUUUGUCCAACUAUAAUAUCUUCUCAGAUGCCUUAAUUGAGCCUUUGAUUGUGCAUUAUCAUCUUUAAUGUCAAUGAUAGCCAACCCAUAAUGGUUGUUGUGUCUUGAUGAACCUUAAAGGUUGGCGUUUUAACCUCAUAAUGAUUGCAUCCAUCAAUGCGUUAAUGCACUAAUUGCCUAUUGCAAUUAAUGCUUGUUGGGCAAGAAUGCAUAGUGCCCGAUUAGAUUGUGUUUGUUUGGUACCCUAAGAGUACCCUGGGGUGGACAAAAAAGCCACAUGGCUCUUGUUCUAACAUGUCUCGACUAGACAGUGUUUGAGGAUCAUGUUAGAUGGUGAUGAGCAUCCCACAGUGAAGACGUAUGAUGAAAGCAAAGGUAGGGCUUCUAAACCAAACGCUUUUAGGGAUUUUUUUUUUUUUUUCAACAAAGUUGACCUCUUCAAGGAAAAAAAAAAAGGUUAAAAAAACUAUUGCUUUUUUGGAUCCAAAUCACCAUUUCCAAUGUGAUAUUUGGAUUUCCACCAUGUAUUUUUUUUUUUUUUAACAGUCAAGGACAUUUUAUGGAUUAUUGAAAGAUAAUAUCUUUCAACUUAAUUUCCUACAUUAAUUAAGUCUUAGGCUCAAAUGUGAAACUUAAGUGGUUGUUAGGCCAUCAAACCCAUCUGCCCUAAAGUAUAAUUUCCCAUUUUCAAAAUAUAUAGUUGUUAAACAUCUAUCCCAAACUAUUGUAACCCUUUGAAGUGCUUGGUAUGUUAACCUUGUUUCCUUUUCCUUAUGCAACAUGGCUAAUUGAUUGUUGCAUUGAAUCAUUAUCAUUCACCAAAUCCAUUCAACUAUGGACUUACCUUUCAAAUCCCUCUAACAAAAAUGGUAAUUCCAAAACAACUCAAGUCUAAUGUUCUCAACUCUUUCAAAUGAUUUAAUUAAUUGGUGUUUGAAUAUACCUCUUAUAUUUUUUUAGAGCAAUUUUUAGGCACAUAACAUAAAUUUCUAAUUUUUUUUUAGAAAAGGUUUUAUAUUUUAUAUUUUAUAUUACAACUUCCCCUUUUUUUUCCAUCUAAAAAACAAAACAUAAAACCUUAAUAACCGAGUUUUGUCACAAACCCUUAACAAAUAAUCUAUUUUCCAAAAAUUACUUUAACAUCUUUAAACAUAUUGAUUUAGUAUACUUUACUUUUAAUAUUUUUUGAAAAAUAUUUUUAUUUUAUAUGAUUAUUAAUUAAUUAAGAUUGAUUGGGUAUGGUAGAAUAUAUAUUCCAAAAUACAUCGUAUUGAGAACAAUAUCACAAGAUAUUAUAUCCAUAUCUUAACAUAUUAUAUACUUUUAUUUUGUGCAAUUAGCAAUUGGACGGAAGGUAGGGAGCCGGCUUAAUGGAAAUGUCGCAUCUCACGUGUGUCCCUUCCCUUACCAAGUCUCAACAAAGGAUGAAAAUAUCGGUAAUCACGGAUAUAUCGGUACUUCGAUUUUACGGAUAUAUUAGAUAUAUCAGAGAUAUAUUGACGGAUAUUUUGGAAAAAAAUAUCGAUAAGCCUAAAAUUGAUCAAAAUUUAUAAAAAUAUAAAAAAAACUUCAUAAAAAUGUAAUUAAAAGAAGGUCGUAUAAGUUACUCAUGUUGAUCAUGUGAUAUAUCACGAGAUAUAAUCGAUUUUUGGGAAUUUCUCACGAAAAUAUCGCGACAUUUCUUCCUUGUCUCGACUGCUCCAAGAUUUCCUAUACGCCCUUCUUCGCUUAGCUCUUAAGUCUUUUCUUCUCCUCUUCCUCAAACCCAUCACAUUUCGCCGCGUGGAGCUAAGUCUCAAGGUCCUUUUGUUCGUACGAUGUAUGUUCCCCCAAUUCCUCAUCUACCUUGAAACUCCAUACUCGCCAUCUACUCAACCACUUCUCUACUCUAGAGUCUGGAUGCUUUAUCUCCGCGAGUGUCGAUGGCUCUUCACCCCAGCGAGUAUGGAAUUACAAGGGCAAUAUCGUCAUUAAAGACACAACAGGCAAACCAAUGGCAUUGUCUUCCUUUUGGUCUAUUUUAUUUAUGCUGUAAGUAUUCGUGCUUGACUUCUCCCGCGUCUCUUAUAAAAACUAAAGAAAACCACUCCAACAGAGCACACUUCAAGAAUCUUCUUUUUUUUUUUCUUUCCUCUUUCUCUUUACAUAUAUACUGAGAAAGCCCAGCUCAUCCCUCAAUUCCCAGAUGGGUUUUAUGAAUGUUCUCAAGUUCUCAGCUGCAUGCUUUGAUAUUCUUGCCUGGUAUGUUGUCCACGCAUUUUCUCGCCAUUGGAAAUUUUUGGAAAAUGAAGUGGAAUUCUCUGUUUGAGGACAAACAUGGGAUUUUCUUUGAUUUCUCCCUGUUGGUUUUAUCUAUAUUCUUUGGAUUACCCACAUUCUUGUCAUUGAUUGUUAGUCAUUUGUUUGGAUUUCUACUUGCAGGCCUCUAUUUGCACUGGGUUAUCCUCUGUAAGUCUUGGUCUUACACCUCAAGAUAUGAUGAUUCAUUUACUCUUUUCUUGUUCUACGAAUAGUUCAGUUACAUUUAUUGUGUUGGGAAACUGAAAAGGGAAAGGAUUAUUCUUUAUUAUCGUAAUAAUCAUCAACAUCAUCUCGGUUCUUCACAGAUGUUCUUCAAUUCGGGCAAUUGAGACUAACUCAAUCUCAGACUUUCGGAAGUUGGUGGCGUAUUGGGUUCUAUUUUCCUUGAUUUCACUCUUUGAUCAUGCUUUUUCCAAGCUCCUUGAAUGGUAAUUUUGCUCAACUGCGUUCCACUAUAUGUGACUCUGUUUGUUUCAUUUCUUUGCCCUUAAGGAAUUUGGAGUUGCUUUUUUCAGUUUUCUUUCCUAUGAAAAUAAUCGAGAUGUUUAAUGUUCCAGGCCUCCAUGUAUUUUAUAUUCCUUCAUUUCUCUGCUUUGACAAAUGCUCACAAUCUGAUCAGCAGAAAGGUUAUAACAUUUGAAAAAGAAGUGGUUUAUUUUUGUUUUUUUUAAGUACAAUAAUUUUCGUUUGGAUAAAUGGUCUGAAGGGUGUUUGUGUUUGGCUGAGUUCAUGGAAUUUUCAAGCUAAUUUGGGAUUUAUUCUCAAUUUCAAGAUCAUUGUGGAUAUGUCAGAAAUUAAUGAAAUAUAAAUGGUGGAAUGUGAUUUUCUUGUUUAAGAAAAGUUUUUCUUUGAAAAUGCGGGUGCACCAGACCUACCUUAUUGNNNNNNNNNNNNNNNNNNNNNNNNNNNNNNNNNNNNNNNNNNNNNNNNNNNAUCAGAUUCAACUGUGAUAGCCCGGAAUUUAAUUCAGUAUUCGACUCUUCUGGGAACAUGUUGGUUAUGGUUUCUCUCUCACUGUCCUCUUCUUUACACAUGACUUUUCAGUUGAGGAGCACAAAGCCUAAUGUUGAAGUGAAAGAGAUCAAAGCACCUGCAGCACCGGAGAAAAAAGGGGAACAGGUAAGUACUCUAAUGUGGCUAUUUAAUUUCUAUGGAGGCAGAUCCCCAGAGAAAUGCUGUUCAUGUAAAUUACUGAUGCAUUUGAUUCAAUGGCCACGGUUUUAAAAGAAAAACCACUUUAUGUAUGUUUCUGUGAAUGAGAGAACAAGUUUAUGGAUUAAAUGAUAUUUUUUAUGGUGAAAUAAUCAAUAAUUUUCAAAAUAAUAAUACAUUCCUGCAUGUUUUUGCAAUUCAUGAAUUCCUUUUAUGAUUGAUUCUUCUCACCUUUUUUCUCACCUCAGUGGAAGUGUGAAGAGCCUAAUGUUGCUCAAAAAGAGAUCCAAGUAGUCAAAGUAACAGAGAUAAAAAAUGGGGGGGAUGGAGCAAAGAGGGUAAGUUUUGCUUUUUAUUUAUAAAGUAGGCUGUCUUCACACAAGGAUUAUUAUUAUUAUUAUUGUUAUUAUUUUAAGACAUGAAUGUUGAAUGAUUUUGGAAUUGUCCUUGAAUCAUGUGAAGUGUGAAUGGUCUAAUGCUGCUAAGGAGGAGGUCAAAGUGACAGAAGUAACACAGAGAACAUUUGGUGGUACAGCACAGUGGGUAAGGUUUCAUGUCAUAUUUAAAUGGCUCCUCAUAUUUCACUAGGAUUAAUUUUGCCCCUACAAACUAUUUGGCUACAAGUUAAGACAGAGUUCCAGAUGCUGAUAAAGCUGAGACAUAAGUAAUGAACGAAUUUAGACACAUGCACAACUCUUGUGUGAAACACAAUGAGAGUGGAAAAUAGCUAAGUUGAAAAAUGGCCAAAUACUAUUUUGUAGUUCCCCCUACCACUUAAGUAAUUUUUGUCAUCCUUUGUGAAUGGAAAAUGCAGUCCCUUCAGUAAUUCCAUUAUAUUCAUGACUUGGUGAAGCAUAUAACCAUUAGUGUCUUACCCUAAGUCGACCUUUAAUGAUGAUCCAUUGAGAUGGGUCUGACUUUUGUCAACCCUCUUAUUCCCUUGAUCAUAGAGGUGAAACUUAGGGGGCUUAACCCACUUUUCAAUCUUAUUGGAUAUAUGGCACGUGGUAUCCUCUUCAUCUUGAAAGAGUGAAGUGGUCAUACUCUUUCCUCUGAGUCCAUUGUGGCCAUGCACUUCAGGCUCAUUGGGCUGAGUGAAAGGAUUCCCUUCUGCUUCAAAUCAUAGAGAGAUAUGCCAUGGUCAGCCUCUUUAAUUCAAGGGAUUGAAGUACUCAAAUCCAUUUCUCUGUAUCCAUCUUAGUUCUGCAUUCAUGUCUCAUGGUUAACCAAGAAGAUCCAGCCUCCAUCCAUGAGAUCAGCAUCUGCAGGUUUAUGACACCACCCUUCCUUUGCAUAGGAAAGGGAUCAUUAAGCCAUGUGUCGGAUGACAGAAGUCAUCAUUCAGGUUAUCUUGAGAACUAAGGAAGUUGGAAUUCUAAUUAUUGCAUAUGGUUCUUGAUGUUUAGCCAAUAUACUAUAGGAUUUUAAGCAUCAUGCUCACGUGCAUUGUGGUUGCUUAUCAGCUAUAUGGUUUGCCAAAAUGAGGGACUGAUUAUGGUCAUAAGUACCUUUUUCCCAUUAAUUUCUUGCAUGUGCUCUGCUGAGAUUAUGUUUUUGACAGUCCAAAUCAGGGCAAACCAACAAACAGCUUUAUGUUAACUUUUACAAACUGCCAUAUUUUCAGGUUAAACAAACAGAGAUAAAUCUUGGUGAAACUAGAAGUAAUACAACCUGUGCUGUGGAGAUAAAAGAAAGGGCAGCAGCACUGGUGGCUGCAGAAAUUGAGGCAUGUAGAGACGAUAGAACCCCCAAGAUACCUCUUCAUGAGAAAGUCCAGAAAGAGUGGGCUUGUGCUGUGUGCCAGUUCACAACCCAAACUGAAGCGACCUUCAAUUCCCACCUUCAAGGGAAGAGACAUCAGGCCAUUUCUGAGCAGCUGAGAGCCAAAAAUCAGGCAACCAAAACCAAUUGUUCCCCAUCUGCUUCAAUGGCCAAGAAAUCUGAUCAGUCCACCAAAGAGGAGCAACCGAAGUGUACUUCCAAUCUGAAUUCCAAAAACAAUGGAAUCUCAGCUGCUUCAACAGUGAAGAAACUUGAUGAGACCAAAGAUGAUGAGCAACAAAAGUCUGCAUCUAGCAAUGGACCGAACCAGAAGAAUAACAAAAAGCAAGAGGUACAGACCAAUGAGCAAGGCCGUCAGAAGAACUUAAGGCAAACUGGUGAUGGAAUGAAAGAGUUGAGAUCAUGGUGCAAUAUCUGUAAUGUAAGCUGCACAAGGGAGCUUGACCUGGCCUCGCAUCUCAAUGGAAGGAGGCACUUUGAUAGGAUAAAGCAGCUGUCUGAAUUAUGGUGCAGUAACUGCAAUGUAAGGUGCAACAGUGAGGUUGAUAUGGCCUCUCACCGAAAUGGGAGGAGGCACUUGGAGCAGCUGAAGGAACGGUUAGGAUUAUGGUGCAGUAUCUGUAGUGUGAGUUGCAACAGCAAGGUGGACAUGGAUUCUCACCUAAAUGGGAAGAUUCACUUGGAUCAGAUCAAGGACCAGUUAAGAUUAUGGUGUGGGGCAUGUAAUACAACCUGCAAGAGUGAGCGCAACAUGGCCUUUCAUCUGAAUGGGAGGAAGCACUUAGAGAAGAAGGGGAAUACCUGAUUUGCAUGUUUCUUCAGAUUAUUGAUACUUACAAAUGGUUUUAGUUAGAAGCAUACAGGCCAGUGGGUGGUGGUCACAGAUGCCUCUAUUUUGUUGUAUGAAGUAAAAACAGUAUUUCCAUGUCCAGAAAUCAACCACUUGUUUAGUGCAUGCAUGGCUGGUUCAAAAUUAAACCUAAUUGUGAAUGACUAGGAGCAGGGAGGGAAAAAUUGAAGGGAAGAAUGUAAGAUUAUGGCUUCAUUUUUAUUUUUUCCUCUUCUGAAAAUUGUAAGAUUGUGUUAGGAGGAGCUGGAAUGGGUUCAAAUCAGGAAUUAAGACCCAGUUCCAAGACAUGGAAAGUGUCUUUAGAUUAUGUUAAGUUAUUUCCAUUUUUUUUUCUUUUCUAUUUUUUUUCUUUAUUUAUUGUAAGAGGGAGCAUAAAUGAAUUUUUAUUUUUUAUUUUUUUUUUCAGAAUAAAGAUGAAUUUGAUAAUUUCAAUUAUUGCGUUUGGAUGUAUUUCGGAACGUAAGAUUGAAAUAAUUAUUUGUUUUCAUUUUAGUGUUUGAUAAUAAUGAAAGUAUGAAUUAAAAAAUAAAUUGAUAAUAAUACUCUUACAUUUAAUUUAAAACAAUUUUUUAUUUUUAUUUUUAUUUUAGAAGAAUAUGGGUUAAUUUUAUUUAUUUAUUUUUUAAAUAAUAAGCUUAAGAAAAAUAAUUUUUACUCAAUAAAUAAAAUUAAUCAUACAAAGUCAUAAAAACCAAACCAAAAUAUAAGGGUAAAAUAGUAAUUUUAAAAUAUUCAUUUAAGUUAUCCAAAUGCAUUCCUACUCUUCAUUCUCUUGUACGAAAUACGGUCUUUAAGCGUUUGUCAAACUUAUUUCUUUUUUGGCAAUAUAUCAAUAUUUUAGUAAUAUUUUUAUCGAUUAGUUGCUGAUAUUUAUCGCCACGUCACCAAUUCUUUGAGUUUGACUUUCAAAAUUUUGAAAUGAUCAUUGAAGUCCAGUUCAGCCCAAAUCACUACACCCAUGAAAGGGAACGGCUGGGCCACCACACUAAUAUGGCCCAUACAUGGGACCUCGUAAAAGAAUACCCAUCUUCAAAAAUAGGGACCAUAUUAAAUUAUUAAUGUAGCUAUAGGAAGCAUUUGAGGACAAGGGUCAUGAUUUUUCCCUUUUCUUUUUCUCCUUAAUUUUCACAUCACCCAACAACACCACUCUUAAUUCACACAAAUUUGAAGGUUUGGAAUGAGACUUAUUCGUAUUUAUAUUGUAAUUAUGCUAUAAUAAUCGUGUCGUAUUUGGAUUUAUUUAUUAAAUCCAUCUAAAUCUUUUGUUUAUUCGUGUCAAAACAAUAUAUUUAUAAUCGAAUCCAUUUAUGACAUAUUCAUCUUUUAUAAAUUUAUUAAUUUUAUAUAUUUUAAAAUUAUAAAAAUUAAAUAUAUUUUUUCAAUUAUGAAAUCAUAUUACUAAAAUAUUAAAUAAUUCAUUAACUUGAAAUGUUUUACAUUUCAUUAAUUAUUUUAUAAUUACAACAUUAAGUGAAAUAAUAAAUAGGUAUAAAAUAUAUAUUUUAUUUUAGUUAAAAAUUAUAAAUUGUUAUUGAGACAUAUAACUAUUAAAAUUCUACCCAUUUGACUAUCAAACAAACAACUUAAGUUUUUAGUCAUGAUUUAAGCUUAUGAUAAACUCUAUUUACAAAAAUUAGAAACCAAAAUCAAAUUCUUCCUAGACUCAAAAACAUAAAGACAAUCUUUUAACUUUAGAAGACAACUAUCAUCUAAGAUAAGGGUAACUCAUCCCAUUGCAUGUACAACAAUUCUUGCUUCAAAAGCUAAUGUUAGGUACAUAUCCCUAUCAUUCAACCUUUCCCUUAGCUAAAACCCCUAUAAAGAAUUAUAAACAUGAUCAAUGGCUCCAAAAUUUAUCCACCAAGAGUUAGUGGAAUCUAACACUAAAAAUGAUUCAACUAAAAGAGAAUGAUGCAUACCUAACUGUCUCUUCAAGAACUAAGGGCAUUCCUUCUUCUAGUGGCUUUUUUUACCACAAAGGAAACACUUAUCAUGACCCUUACUCUUCUUCUUUUUCCCUUGCCCUUGAACUUUCCCUUCUGCUUGGUGAAUUCUACAAUGUUCUUCUUAUUUUGGUUAGAAGAACCUAAAGAACACUUAACUGCCAUAUAAAUACCUCUCUGGUCCUUGAGAAUUCCCUCAAUUGUUUUGUGUUCUCUCAUCAGUUCGGUUAUAGUUUAAGAAAAAAAAUGUUUUUUUUAUGUGACUAAACUUGGAAUGAAUGUCCAAGUUGCAUACAUACUCGGGCUAAGAUCAAGUCAUAACGUAGUUUAAGAAAAAAGAUUUUUUUUUUUUUUUUUUUUUUUUUUUUUUUGUGAUUGAACUUGGAAUGGAUUUCUAAGCUACUUACGUAUCCAGGAUGGGAUCAAGUUCUAACAUAGUCACAAUGCAGUUCAAGAAUUUUUUUUUUCUUUUUUUGUGCUCUAACUUUUGCCAAGACUAAAGAUCUUAAUUUUGCGAGCAUGUUCUAACUUUUGCCUAGGUCGCCUUUCCAAGUUUUCAAUUUAGCAAACAAGGUUUUUUUUUUCUUUUUUUUCUUUUUCUUUUUUUAGUUCUCUAACUUUUGCCAAGACUAAAGAUUUUAAUCUUGGAAGCAUGUCUUAACUUUUACCUUAAGUCGAAUUUUUAGGUUUUCAAUGUGGUGGAUUUUUUUUUUUUUUUUUUUUUUUUGUGUCGUAGGUAAUUUAAGCUCAUAUGGAUUGGAAGCAAUGUGUAGUUUGUUGGGAUUAAGCCCUUAAAAGCAAGACAUGAUGUAAUAAAGUUAAACUUAACUAUUUCCUUACUAUCUUUUUGGUGUAUCAACAUUGAUUUAAACAUUCAACCCAUAUCUCUUACAUUGUACAUGAUUUAGGAGCAUUAAGAGUUGCACAAAAGAUACAAGUUAUGGGUUCCUUGUAAGUAGAUGAGUUAUCCAUAGUCAUUUCAUGGAUUUGGGCAAUCUAGUAGUGACUAUAGUGCACCACCUCCUAAUUUAAGGGAUGACUUGUCUUGGCAGUUGGGAUGAGUUUCCUAUGGUGAGCGUACUAGUGUAAAUGAUGCACAUUGGACAGGACCUAUGGUGAAUCAUGACGCAAGGCUAUCAAUUGUCAUGAUUCACCAAGUUACUAUACUACAUGGACUCUCAACCUUGAGAGGACAUUGAACCCAUGUCAAAAUCAAUAGAAAGUUUUGACCUAUGGGCGAGACCCUAAAGUAGUCAUAUAUUCCUAUGGAUUAGGUCAUUGUUGAUGUAGGCUGGUUAUAAUAGGCAUUCUCAAUAGAGGCACCAUGAUAUGUCAUGGGAUUGAGAUGGUGUGUCCCUUUGGGUGAUCCAAAGAACAUGUGAUCAUGAAAUUUGUGGCCACAGUAAUUCCUUUAGUGAAAUUUGACAUAUGCUCCUUGGAGUUAGAGUAUGUCAAUUGAUCACAUAAUAAGUGAGAUCUAUAACUCAAGGAUUUGAGAGAUAAUAUUGAUAGGUGAUAACACUAACUUGUUAGAUUUAGACACCAGUUUCAUGAGGAAUAUGCAUGUAGUGGAUAGUAGGUCAUGAAUGCGAGCUUUGUCUCGUUGUUAUUUACAUAAGGUACCGGAGUGUAGUUGAUUCUCUUUAGUAGAGUGUUGAAUCAACUUCAAAAUUGGAUUAUGAGGUAGUCAGUACUCCUAUGGGUCUCAAUGGUCCCCACUCUGAGCUAAUAUACCAUGAUGACACAAUUUAUGAGGGUUGGAUUGACUUUAGGUUCAUUCUUAUGCAUAAGGGCAUUUUGAUAAUUACACAAGGUUGCAUAGGGGAUAAUAAAUAAGGUCUCUAGAUUGGACUAAUUGAUUAAUUAGAUGGCCUUAUGUGGUUAAUUAAUCAAUUAAGACAUGUUAGGGCUAGAUUAAGUGACCCAAGCCUUGAUGGGUUCAAGUCACUUAAGCCUAAUGGGUAACCGUAUAAAUACCUCCUUAUGGGUUAGGGUUUUCUAAUGACUUUUAGUUAGUCAUCUUCCACUUUUAGAAAAAUAGAGAGAGCCAAAGCUUCCUCCUUUCCACUGCCCACACUUUGGUAUGCCAAGAUCGGGAAUCGAGUCAUCGAACAAAAGAUCUUAGGUGUACGAGACCUUUGAACUCUUUAGGCUUCUUCUUCGUUGGAUGGAUUUUGAUCUGGGAACAUCUAGAUCACAUGUAUGUGUUAUAAUAUUUGGUUAAUUCAACCUAAGGUAAUCACCCUAGAGAAGGGGUGAAUAGGGUGAUGAUUUUUUUUUGCAAAUUUAAAUUAUGUGAAUGCAAGAGACAAUUAUAUGCAAAAUAUAUGGCAAAACCAUAUAAAAACAAUUGCAUAUAAAGUAAAAGGUUAAGGAAGAGAGAAUAUAAACACAAGAUUUUUAUAGCGGUUCAGUGCAACCCGACCUCCAUCCAUUCUCUUCUAGCUUCAAUACUAAACUUGAGGUUCCACUAAUUCAAGGCUUCCAAUCCAAGCCUUCAAGUAAUACAAUUGGAUUAUGGUUCCAAUCAAACCUCUUGAAAUUUUAGUUCUAAACACAUUUUACAAUCUUCAAGAGAUACCUCACUCUUGAACAACUCCUUAAGUGAUACCUCACACUUGAGAAUCCCUAAGUGAUACCUCACACUUAGAUUUUUCAUCUCAAAGAUUUAUCCGCUCUGCACCCACCUCCCGAGUAUAUGCUUCAACAGGAAUCACACAAGGGUAGAUUGAUACAAUAGAAACCUCUGGUAAAAUGCCCGCUCGUAACCCAGCAGAUAAAGUACAUUACAUAGUCCGUUUUAGGGAUUGGCUACUUACCCAUUCAGUGACUUUGGCACUGGACGUUCCCAAAAUGGGUACUAUCGGGUCGGGUGAAUUCAAUAAUAGACGCCUGUUGGCAUUCCAGCCUUCCUUCUCCUUUCAGGGCCUAUCCGAAAGAGAAUCCAGUACUUCUUGGUCAAAUGAAGAUAGGAAAUUAUUAGCCUAAGGACUCUCCUAAUCGGGUUUUGAUGAUAACAAACCAUGAUUAAAUGACUAAUUGGUUUAAUGGUUAAGAAUCUCAAGCAUAAACUCGAAAAUUCAUCAAAUGACCAAAUGGAUACAAGAUCGAGACAUUUGGAAGACUUGUGAUCAUAGGAAACUAAUGUAAGAUGAAUGCAUGAGUGCACUUAGGAUUUUCAUACCGUUUCAUACAAUUUAGAAAACUCAGUUUAUUCUUUAAAACUUCAAUUUCAUUAAAACCCGAGUUUUAACAAUUGUACCUCAGGCAAAAUGUUUUAAAAUUGGCAUAAUAAUUCACCUAAAAACCUUGCCUAAGUGUUAGGAAAGAAAGGAAUUGAAAAAGAUAGGUUUUCGGGGCCAAAAGGCUCAACCGGUCGAGGCUAUGGCCAACCAACUCAACCGGUUAGGGAAUCGGUCGACUGGUUACCCUUGUCCAGUUGAGGUCCGAUCGAAGGAUGCACAAAAUUUUCUCUCUCUCCCAGUAGCCUUCUCUUCCCGGUUGAGGUUAUUCUCUUCCCUGUCGAGGUCCGGUAUAGGCAACGGUAACCUGUCAAGCAUUAAAUGCUCCAACGGCUAGCGAACCGGUCAACCCCUAGCUCGACCGGUCAAGGUUACCUUUUGUUGUUUUUGACUCCCGAGCUUAGAAACCUAUAAAUUGAGAGCUCCACUUCAUUUAUUGACGAGAUAACACUUGCAAUCAAUUGUCUACCUAUUUGUUCUUGAUCAGAAAGCUCUCAUUUCUUUCUUAGUACAUUAAAUCAUCACUUGCAUAUCCUUUAGUGCACUCUUGUGUGUCAUCCUAGAUUUGUCUUGUAUUUGAGCUAUCUUUAAGCUAGGUUGAGGGAUUCAUUCUUGUAAAAACCGAGUGUUAAAGCCUUCAAGAAGUUUAAAUCUUGAAGAGAUUGUGUAAGAGUCCAUUGGAGCCAAAAUCCAAGUGUAAGAAGAUUGGAAGUUUGGUUGAAGUUUCAAGUUAGUGGAACCUUCACUCGGUUAGGAGAUUGAGGAGACUGAACGUAGGCAAAGAAGUGUCGAACUACUAUAAAACCCGAGUUUGAAUUCUCUAACUCUAGCUCUUUAUUUUGCUUAUAUUGUGCUUGAACUCGUUGUGAUUUAAAAGAAUUUAAAAAACCCCUAUUUGGGUGUUUUUCUUAAUUAAGCAUAGCCUUUAUUUUCUCAUAAAUAAUCUUACAAAAUCUUAGUACAAACUUUAGCCUUAAAUGAUACAAAAUAAACUAGGAUUGAAUGGUGCACUAAUGAUAUGUAAGUUUUAAAACAAUGUGUACAAAAAACACUCCCCUAAAGCUCAAAUAUAUUCGAGAAAGGUUUAAGAAGGUUAAACUCUUGAAACAAUAAAUAUUGAAACCUUUUUAUAGAAGAGAAAAACCAAACUACCUGUUGGGGAUUCGUUCGAUCAAGCUCUGGUUCGACCAGUUCACUAGCCUUUAGCAUUUAAUGUAUGAUAGGUGACCAUUGGACCUUGACUACCCCUUGAUUGGUACUCGACCGGAUGAAGUUCAACCUUGAUUGAUCGAAUAAGCAUUCUGGAAGAGAGAUAAGGUUUUUGCACCUUUCAACCGAGUAAGCUGAAUAGGUCGACUAAUUUCUCAUUCGAUUCAACCGAUUGAGUCAUUUUUUGCUCAACAACUAUUAUUUUCAACUUAAAACCUUUUAAACAAGUUUGGAAAGCAUUUGACAUAAGGUUUUAGUUGAAAACAUGAAAUCAUCCAAUUUUUAAAAGAUUUAAAACAAAAUAACUCUUGAAUGAUUUUGGUGUAUAAGUAAAGAAUGUAAUGCAUGAAAAACCCAAUGCACCAACAACCUUACAAAGAGAUCCUAUGAGUCUUAGGUCUUGAAAAACACUUAUCUUUAAGGUCUUCUUCUUCUUAUUGAUUUUAUCUUUGUGAUUGCCACUUUGGAAAUCAUCUUGCCUAGUCACACUUAAAAUAUAAUCAUUAGUUCUAAAUCUUGUUUUGUUAUCAUCAAAACUAAGAUUAACCAAACCUUGGUUUCACAAUAUGAAUAUUGUAUCUCUAGAUCUAUAGUUAAUAGUGGUUUUUAUAGUCAUUUGUUUCCAUUGCGAUAAAUUUAGAGAAGCUUAGGGAUAGAUGAAUGCACCCUAUGAGAUCUAGGGCAUAGGAAUGGAGUAAUCCGGGGUUCCUAACAUAGUUUAGGCUUGUGCUUCAUGGAGUGAUAACAAUUCUUCAAGCAUAGUUAUGCUUUAGAAAUUUGUUAUUGAUUGGUCCAAUUUUUAGACCAUCUUCAGCAACAAUCUUGUGUGCACCAUUGAUAUAAUCUUGUUAUACAAAAUAUGAUCUAUCACAUUUUUGGCAAGAACUUUCCACUGGUUUUGUGCAUGGUAAUGAUCAUGCAUGCAAACUUAACUAAGUUAUACACUAGAUGCCAAACUACUACAAUUCUUAUACACCUUCCCGUUUUGUGCAACUGAACAAUUCAACAUCAUAACACCAAAGUUCUUGCUUAGAUUUCCUACAGUGCUAAAAUUUUGAAAUGAUUAAUUUGUUUAUUUUUCUUUCAAUCCCAAGACCCACAUACAUCAUGUCAUGCCCUAAGACCCACUCUAAGGGCAUGACAAUCAUUUCACAUCUCAAGGUCGAAAGCUCAAAGUGUAAAUUGACCUUAACAUUCAUUUUGUAACUGGAAAAUUAUCAAUUACCAAAUUCAUAUUUAUAGUAGUAGAAUAAAAUUCUACAAGUUUCAAAUCUCAACUUUAAAGUUAACACAUCAACUAAAGUGUUAUUGUCCAAACAACUUCAAACUUAACAAUUCAAGCAAUCAUUAAAUUCUAACUUUCAAAAAAUAUUUUUUAAAAAUAAAGAUUUAACGAAAAGUCUUAGUAUUGCCAAAAUCUCAUCCUAACCUUCACUCCUAGCCUGAAUUAAGGUGCCUAAAAAAUUGUCAAUGAAAGGAAAUGAGAUCAACGCUCAAUAAGGAAUAUUAAUAAGGUUUCAUGGAUCAAACAUUUUUAAUUAUAAUUCCAAAUAGGAGAUAUAAUAUAUAAUCAUUUUCAUAAGAAAUUUUGAGUUUAAAUAUAAUAAUAUAUUGAAAACUUUUCAGCUAAACAUUUUCAUAUCUAUGUCAAAACAAUUUCAUAUCAAAUUCAAAUCAAAUAUAUACAAAAUAUUUUUACUUUGGUUAUCAAAUGUCACAUGGUGUCAAGUUAGGUGGGACUUUACAAAUUGGUGUCUAACCUCAAAUUUUUUCCUUUCAAGGUGGACGAAACCAAACACUACUAGUAUUAUUAACAUCUAACCAAAUCCCUAAAGGGUGAGAUCUAAAGCAAUUACAUUCUCCGCCAAGAAAUAUAAGGUCAACAAUUAUAACUCGUUGACUAGGGACAAAAAUAAACUAGAGUCAAACACCUUAUUUCAUUAAUUCAAACUUGCAAAACAAAAACAUCAUAUCUCCAUAAUUUUCAUUUUUUAUAAACAAAAGAAAUGUUCUAACAUAGUUUUUUCAUGAAAAAUAUAUAUUUGAUCCAUGCAUAAAAAUAAAAAUAAUUUUUUUAUUAUUCAAAAUAACAUAUAAAAAUAAAUAUGUUCUUUUGGCCAAAACAUGUAUUAAUUUUUCUUACCUCAAAGAAACACUCAAAGACCUUGAAGCAAUUAAUCCUAAAGAAUUUCACCCCAAAAAACAUAUUUCACACCUUACUAAAAAAAAAAAAACAAAACAAAAAAAUUACUAUUGAUUAUUUAUCUAAUAAUAGUUUUGUAUUUUAUAUCACCUAUAUUAUUUUUAACUUCCUAAUAAAUAACAAUUUAAUAAGCGAUUUUCCAAAUUUUUAAAAGUUAUGUUCUUUCCAAAAUUUAUUCAUAAUAUUCUAUUAUUAUUAUUAUUAAUUAAAUCUCUCAAAAAUAUGUUUUUUCUAUUUAUUGCAUUAAACUAUUAUUAUUAUUAUUCAAUUUCAAUUUGAUUAAUUGGUUUUUUCUUUUAAAUUCCUAAUUUAUAUAAGAUUCUUGUUUUGAAAAUCUUCCAUAUUUACUUAUUUGUUUAAAGUAAAUUUCUCCAAAACUUGUUCCUUUUGGUUAAACAAGUAUCUUUUCCUAUUAUUAUUAUUAUUAUUAUUAUCCCUAAUAUUAUAUUCAAAUAACUAAACAAUAAUAAUUUAAAUUAGUGAGUUUCCAAAUUUUUAUAAAACUCAUAUUCAUUCUAAAUCUUAUCAUAUAUAUCAAUUUCUUUUAUAUACUUAAAUUAAAUUAAAAAAUUUACUUAAAAAAUAUAUAUAUUAUAUUAUUACUUUCAACAUCCUUCUACCACCCAAACAAUUACUUCAAGUAAAAGUCAUAUAUCCUUAUUCUACUAACUAUCCUCUCUCUUGCAAUAGCACACUUAGGGAUGGCAAUGGGGUGGGUUCGGGAUGGAUCGCCCCUAUCCCAACUCCUCCCCAUUUAUUCAAAAUAAUUUUCAUCCUCGUCCCAUUUAAAAAAUUAAAUGAGGCAGGGCGAGUAUGAUAAAUUCUCAUAUUCGCCUCGCCCCGCCCCGUUUAACUCUUUUUUGAAUUUUUUUUUAAAAUUACUUUAAAAAUUUUUAAUUACAUUAAAAUAAAUAUAUUUUAUAAAUAAUUAAAUUAUUAUAUUUUUUAUAACUUAUUUUAUUAAAAAUAUUUUAUUAUUAUCUAUAUAUUAAAAAUAGUAAAAUAAAAAUUAAAUUAAAUUAAUUUUAUAUAUAAUUGGGGUGGGACGGGAUGAGGCAAUACCCAAACCUGCUCCGGGUUUUAAAAAAAAUUCUCAAACCUAUCCCAAACCCGUUUAUUAAAAUUAAAUCUCGUCUCAUUAGGGACGAGGCGAGUACCUGAAAAAACCUGCCUCAUUGCCAUCCCUAGGCAAACUUUCAUUUUUUUUUUUUUUUUUAUCUUUUUCCUCCUUAAGAUCAAUCCUAUUGUAAGCACCCUUUUUUUUUCUACCACAUCUUGUUGCAAGCAACCUUGUAAGUUUUUUUAAUUUAAAUUUUUUUUCCACUAUGGAGGCACGUACAACCAUAAAACCUCCUCUUUUUUUUAUUUUAUUUUUACAACUCUCAAAUCUCUCAACCUCCAUACUAUUAGGUUUUAUUCAUUUAUUUAUUAUUAUUAUUAUUAUUAUUAUUAUUCCAUAUCCAAAACUAUAAUUAAUUUUCUUUUAUAUUUUUUUAUUUUAGAUCUAUUAAUUUGAAUAUUCGAAAUUUUCUAAUCUUACUAAUAACUCUAAACGUUCAAAACUAAUUAAUGAAUAUAAAAUAUUAAUCUAAGGAUUAAAAUCUUAUAUAGAAAAUUGAUCUUUAAAUCCUAAACUCCCAAAUUUUCAACCUUACGUUGCCCUAUGUUGUCCAAUCUCUUAGAUCUCCAUGUAAAAGGGUUUUUUUUUUUAAUAGAGUAAAUAAGAAAAAUUUAAUUUAUACCUAAAAUUUUAAAAUGGAGAAAAAUCUUUCUACCCUUAUUAAUUUAAUUAAUUUUUUUAAAUUAUGUUUUUACCCUUGAAUUGGGUCUGGGCAUCACACAUCAUACUAAAAAGUUAUCAAUAACCAUCCUUUGAGGCACAUUAGCAUAAAUUUGCGACUUUAGUUGUGUUCUAGGUGCAAUUCUAUUAUGUUUAAUUGAAAAAUAACACCCAUAGCACAACCAAGCCUAAUUGACAGCAUUUGGGCAAAUAAAUGGUAAAUUUCUAAAAGUUCACCAAAAAAAAAAAAAAACAAAAAAGAUCAUAAAGGGCAUAUUUUUCAAGUCAACCUAGUUUUGGGAUAUUGCAAUCCAAUCUAAGAAUGCAAUAAUAGCUCUUUAAUUCAUAAUUUUAAAUUCACAAAAGAUAUCACCUAAAAUUACUAUAGGUUACCAAAACAUCAACAACAUAUAGAAAGCUUAGAAAUGCUUGGAACCUAUCGAAUUUUCACUUUUUAGGAAUAAAAAAAAAAUGAACUUUAAGGAUUUUAGGGUAAUACUUGCUUGAACCAUCUUUCAAUCCUUUUGUUGGCGGUGGGCCUUUUACCUAUAAGAACAGGAAUGAGAGGUGAAAAGGAGGGAGCCUUAUGAAAACGGAUCCCUAGGGCUUAAGAAGGGGUUUUCAAUUUUAGGGUUUGUCUGUUCACCAAGGAUGUGAAUGGGAAGAUGAGGUGAAGUUAAGAGAUUGGUGAAGCAAAGUGAGGGCAUGGUAGGGUUUGAAUAAGGGAAAGUCUACACUAUUAAUGAAGAUGAUAAUCUUUAGAAAGCAAAGCUAAGGUAAACUAGGGCUUUAACAACAAUUUUCGAUCUACACUAGUGAAGACGAUAUCUUCGAAAACCAAAGCUAAGGCAAGCUAGGGCUUUAAUAACGAAUUUCAAUCUACAAUGGUGAAGAUGAUAAUCUUCGAAAACCAAAUCUAUAAUGGUGAAGAUGAUUAAAAACUAAAUCUAUAUUGGUAAAGACGAUUGGAAAGCAAAUCUACACUAGUGAAGUCAACGAAACCAAAGGUAGGUAAAAAUAAUAAUAAUAAUAAUGCAUUCUUAGAUCCAAAUCACCAUUUCCAACAUGGUAUUUGGAUUUCCACCUUGUAUUUUUUGUUUUUAAUUUUUUCAAUAAUCAAGGACAUUUUAGGGAUUAUUAAGUGACAAUAUUCUUCAACUCAAUUUCCCACAUUAGUUAGGUGUAAGGCUCAAAUGUGAAACUCAUAUAGAUGUUAGGCCAAUCAUCAAACUCAUUUGCCUUGAAGCAUAAUUUCCCCUUUUUAAAAUAGUUGUUAAACAUCUAUCCCCAACACUUGUAACCCUUUGAAGUGCUUGUAUGUUAACCUUGUUUCCUUUUUCUCAUGAAACAUGGCUUAUUGAUUGUUGCAUUGAGUCAUUAUCAUUCACCAAAUCCAUGCAACUAUGAACUACCUUUCAAAUCCCUCGAACAUAAAUGGUAAUUCCAAAACAACUCAAGUAUAAUCUUUCCAAGCCCUUCAAAUGAUUUAAUUAAUUGAUGUUUGAAUAUACUUCAUAUAUUUUUUUAGAGCAAUUUUUUAGGCAUAUAACAUAAAUCUCUAAUUUCAUUUUAUUUUUUUUAUAAAAGGUUUUAUAUUUUAUAUUACAAUUUCCUCUCUUUUUUUUCAUCUAAAAAAAAAAACAUAAAACCUUCGUAAACGAGUUUUGUCACAAUCCCUUAACAGGUAAUCUAUUUUUAAAAAUUACUUUAACAUUUUUAGAUAUAUUGAUUCAGUCUAAUUUAAUUUUAAUAUUUUUUAUAAAAUAUUUUUAUUUUAUAUGAUUAUAAAUUAAUUACUAUUGAUUGCAUAUUAUAGAAUAUAUAUUCUAAAAUAUAUCCUAUUCACAAUAAUAUCAUAAGAUAUUAUAUCCAUAUCCUAACAUAUUAUAUACUUUUAUUUUGUGCAAUUAGCAACAGGGUGGAAGACGGCUUAGGCGGGAGACGGCUUAACGGAAAUGCCGUCUGCCAUGCGUGUCCCUUCCCUUAGUGAGUCUGAACAGCUCCAACAUUUCCGACACGCCCUUCUUCGCUUAGCUCUUAAGUAUUUUCGUCCCGUUUUCAUUAACCCCAUCACAUUUCGCCAUGUGGAUCUAAGCCUCAUGGUCCUUUCGUUCGUACGAUGAAUAUUCCCCCAAUUCCUUAUCUACACUAAACCUCCAUACUCGCCAUCUACUCAACCACUUCUCUACUCUAGAGUCUGGAUCCUUUAUCUCUGCACGUGUCUAUGGCUCUUCACCCCAGCAAGUAUGGCAUUACAAGGGCAAUAUCGUCAUUAAAGACCCAAAAGGCAAACGAAUGGCAUUAUCUCCCUUUUGGGUCUAUUCUAUUUAUAUUGUAAGUUUUUCGUGAUGACUUCUCUCAUAACAGCUAAAAACCACUCCAACAGAGCACACUUCACUUCUUCGUUUUUGUCUUUCCUCUUUUUUUUUUUUAGAGAAGCUGAGAAAGCCCAGCUCGCCCUCAACUCCCCGAUGGGUUUGAUGAAUGUUCUCAAAUUCUCAGCUGCAUGCUUUGAUCUUCUUGGUUGGUAUGUUGUCUACGCAUUUUCUCGUCAUUGGAAAAUUUUGGAAAAUGAAGUGGAAUUCUAUGUUUGAGGAGAAACUGGGAUUUGCUUUGAUUUCUCCAUGUUGGUUUUAUCCCUUUUGUUUGAAUUGUCCAGAUUCUUGUCAUUGAUUGUUAGUUAUUUGUUUGGAUUUCUACUUGCAGGCCUCUGUUUGCACUGGGUUAUCCUCUGUAAGUCUUGGUCUUACACCCCAAGAUAUGAUGGUUCAUUUACUCUUUUCUUGUUCUAUGAAUUCUUAGUUCAGUUACAUUUAUUGGGUUGGGAAACUGAAAAGGGAAAGGAUUAUUAGUUAUUAUCAUAAUAAUCAUCAAUAUCAUCUCGGUUCUUCACAGAUGUGCUUCAAUUCGGGCAAUUGAGACUAACUCAAUCUCAGACGUUCGGAAGUUGGUGGCGUAUUGGGUUCUAUUUUCCUUGAUUUCACUCUUUGAUCAUACUUUUGCCAAGCUCCUUGAAUGGUAAUUUUGCUCAACUUCAUUCUUUGCCCUUCAGGAAUUUGGAGUUGCUUUUUUCAGUUUUCUUCCUUGUGACAAUAAUCGAGAUGUUUAAUGUUCCAGGCCUCCAUGUAUUUUAUUUUCCUUCACUUCUCUGCUUUGAAAAAUGCCCACAAUCUGAUCAACAGAAAGGUUAUAACAUUUGAAAAAGAAAUGCUUUGUUUUGGUUUUUUAAGUGCAACAAUUUUCAUUUGGAGAAAUGAUCUAAAGGGUAUUGGUGUUUGGCCGAAUUCAUGGAAUUUUCUCGCUAAUUUGGGAUUUAUUCUCAAUUUCAAGAUCACUGUGGAUAUUUCAGAAAUUAAUGAAAUAUAUAUGAUGGAAUGUGAUUUUCUUGUUUAAGAAAAGUUUUUCUUUGAAAAUGUGGGUGACCCCAACCUACCUUAUUGUACUACUUGGAACACAAAACAAAAGUUUUUCUCGCUAAUUUAUUAACUAAAUUGCACACUUUUUGAUAGUUCAAGGAAGUGGUGUCAGCUUUGGAAAUAAGAUGGAUGAUUGUAGGGAACUUUAUUUCUCAUCUUUAUAGGGAACUUUCCAUAAUAUAGCUUAUAAAUAUCAUAAUCACAGUGAUGAAUGAUUGUCUUGUUUGAAAGCAUGGUUGCACUUAUUUCCAGGGAAUUUGUCUGCGUUGAAAUUAAAUUAAGCUUUAUGCAUCAUUUGGAUGCUGGGAAACAAAUGGAAAUAGAAAAUUCAGAAUCUGACAAGUUUGUGUAGGGCAACUGGAUCUAAUCUCUUAGUCGAAGCUUAAUAGGGGCAAAUGCUGAUCAUCUUUGAACCUAUUGAAGGCUCUAAUCUGUGCACAAUUCUAAUGUUUUUGUUUUCUUCAUUUCUUUUUCAACUUUUCAUAAUAGAUGUCAAAAGUUAAAACCGAACUUACGUAGUCCAUCCAAGUGGAUGCAUAUAAAUUUAACAGAAACUGAAAUUUGAAGAAAUUUAUUUUCCCUUUUGUAAAUGGUGUUUAAAAAGUCUGUGUGUAGUUUGGUUUUUUUCCUGGAAGAUCAGAUGAUUUCGUGAUCAUUUUUUCUAUUUGCCUUAUCAUCAUGAGAUUUAAGUAUUUUUUUUAAAAAAAUAUUUUAUUUUCUUAUAUAAUGCAUGUCAGGAUACCAUUCUGGCCUUACAUAAAGCUGAUGGUCAUCUGCUGGCUGGUGAUACCGCAUUUUGAUGGUUCCUAUUAUAUCUAUCAAUACCUAGUUCAUCCACGCUUGUCCAUGGAUCCACAAGUUGUCAUGAAUUGGCUCUUCAAUGAAUCAAAAAAGAAGUUUCAUAGCAGAGAAAACUUUCUUGUUUCAGCAGACCAAUAUAUUAAGGAGAAGGGACCUGAAGCUUUGGAGAAACUACUUGCAAGGAAGGUAUGCCAUUAUAAGUAGGAUUGUCAACAAGUCAAAUAGAGUUUUAUUUGAGAUGUUCAAGUAAAAAAUUACUAUAGCAGGUCAUCUAGAAUUAUUGGUCUAAAUUCAUGUAUAUAUCUAUAUAUAAUUGUGUUCUCUUUUUUUCACAUAUGCAUGUGCAUUUAGAUUUACGUAAUUAUAUAUGCAUAAUCAGAUUCAACUGUGAUAGCCCAGGAUUUAAUUCAGUAAUCAACUCUUCUGGGAACAUGUUGGUUAUGGUUUCUCUCUCACUGUCCUCUUAUUUAUACAUGACUUUGGCUUCAGUUGAGGAGCACAAAGCCUAAUGUUGAAGUGAAAGAGAUCAAAGGACCUGCAGCACCGGAGAAAAAAGGGGAACAGGUAUGCACUCUACUAUUUUAUUUCUAUGGAGGCAGAUCUCCAGAGAAAUGUUGCUCAUGUAAAUUAGUGAUGCAUUUAAAAGAAAAACCACUUUAUGUAUGUUUCUGUGAAAAAGAGAACAAGUUUAUGGAUUAAGUGAUAUUUUUUAUGGUGAAAUAAUCAAUAAUUUUCAAAAUAAUAAUAUAUUCGUGCAUGUUUUUGCAAUUCAUGAAUUCCUUUUACGAUUGAUUCUUCUCACCUCAGUGGAAGUGUGAAGAGCCUAAUGUUGCAGAAAAGGAGAUCCAAGUAGUCAAAGUAACAGACAUAAAAAAUGGGGGGGAUGGAGCAAAGAGGGUAAGUUUUCCUUUUUAUUUAUAAGGAAGGCUGUCUUCACGCAAGGAUUAUUGUUAUUAUUUUUAAGACAUGAAUGUUGAAUGCAUUUGGAAUUGUCGUUGAAUCAUGUGAAGUGUGAAGGUGCAAAUGGUGCUAAGAAGGAGAUCAAAGUGAUGGAAGUAACACAGAGAACAUUUGGUGAUACAGCACAGUGGGUAAGGUUUCUUGUCAUACUUAAAUGGCACCUCAUAUUUCACUAGGAUUAAUUUUGGCCUACAAACAUAUUUGGCUACAAGUUGAAGACAGCUUUCCAGAUACUGGUAAAAGUUGAGACAUAAGUAAUGAAUGAGUUUAGAAACAUGCACAACUCUUGUGUGAAACACAAUGAGAGUGGAAAAUAGCUAAGUUGAAAAAUGGCCAAAUACUAUUUUGUAGUUCACCCCACCACUUAAGUAAUUUUUGUCAUCCUUUGUGAAUGGAAAAUGCAGUCCCUUCAGUAAUUCUGCAUAUAACCAUUAGUGUCUUGUCCUAAGUUGACCUUUAAUGAUGGUCCAUUGAGAGGGAUCUGACUUUUGUCAACCCUCUUAUUCCUUUGAUCAUAGAGGUUAAACAUACGGGGCUUAACCCACUUUUCAAUCUCAUUGGAUAUAUGGCAUGUGGUAUCCUCUUCAUCUUGAAAGAGUGAAGUGGUCAUACUCUUUCCUGAGUCCAUCGUGGCCAUGCACUUCUGGCUCAUUGGGCAGAGUGAAAGGAUUCCCUUCUGCUUCAAAUCAUAGAGAGAUAUGCCAUGGUCAGCCUCUUUAAUUUGAAGGAUUGAAGUACUCAAAUCGAUUUCUUUGCAUCCAUCUUAGUCCUGCUUUCAUGUCUCAUGGUUAACCAGGAAGAUCAAGCUUCCAUCCAUGAGAUCAGCAUCUGCAGGGUUAUGACACCACCCUUCCUUGGCAUAGGAAAGCGAUCAUUAAGCCACAUGUCGGAUGACAGAAGUCGUCAUUCAGGUUAUCUUGCGAACUAGGGAAGUUGGAAUUCUAAUUAUUGCAUAUGGUUCUUGAUGUUUAGCCAAUAUACUAUAGGAUUUUAAGCAUCCUGCCCAUGUGCAUUGUGGUUUUUUAUCAGCUAUAUGGUUUACCAAACUGAGGGAUUGAUUAUAGUCAUAAGUACCCUUUUCCCAUUAAUUUCUUGCAUGUGCUUUGCUGAGAUUAUGUUUUUGACAGUGCUAAUCAGGGCAAACCAACAAACAGCUUUAUGUUAACUUUUACAAACUGCCACAUUUUCAGGUUGAACGAUCAGAGAUAAAUCUUGGUGAAACUAGAAGUAAUACAACCUGUGCCGUGGAGAUAAAAGAAAGGGCAGCAGCACUGGUGGCUGCAGAAAUUGAGGCAUGUAGAGACGAUAGAACCCCCAAGAUACCUCUUCAUGAGAAAGUCCAGAAAGAGUGGGCUUGUGCUGUGUGCCAGUUCACAACCCAAACUGAAGCGACCUUCAAUUCCCACCUUCAAGGGAAGAGACAUCAGGCCACUUCUGAGCAGUUGACAGCCAAAAACCAGGCAACCAAAACCAAUUGUUCCCCAUCUGCUUCAAAGGCCAAGAAAUCUGAUCAGUCCACCAAAGAGGAGCAACCGAAGUGUCCUUCCAACAAUCUGAAUUCCAAAAACAAUGGAAUCUCAGCUGCUUCAAUAGUGAAGAAACCUGACGAGACCAAAGAUGAUGAGCAACAAAAGUGUGCAUCCAGCAAUGGACCAAACCAGAAGAAUAACAAAAAGCAAGAGGAGAAGGUGCUAGUUCUUGAGACCAAUGAGCAAGGCCAUCAGAAUAAUUUUGAUCCACGAUCCCACA
RNAcentral lists this long non-coding RNA (54834 nucleotides) under Vitis vinifera (wine grape). Its description in RNAcentral is "long non-coding RNA (VVIN_LNC000787)". The record is from RNAcentral. Lineage: Eukaryota; Viridiplantae; Streptophyta; Magnoliopsida; Vitales; Vitaceae.